This 88920-nucleotide long non-coding RNA is filed under the name Triticum aestivum (bread wheat). Its description in RNAcentral is "long non-coding RNA (TAES_LNC017912)". The stretch from base 575 to 669 matches the Rfam family "MIR9783 microRNA precursor family". The record is from RNAcentral. Lineage: Eukaryota; Viridiplantae; Streptophyta; Magnoliopsida; Poales; Poaceae.
UUUUAUUGUUCUUCUUCCUUUCAAGCCAAGCUAUAAGUAAAUAUUGUGUUCUAACUAAUAAAAGAAAAAACAUUAUCUUGUCUAAGAAAAUGAAUUGCUCCUCCCUACGAUCUUGGCUCAUUCUAGGUGAUUUCAACCUAAUUCGUUUCGCUUGUGGAGAAAAUGACCUCCACCAGAUAGAUGCUAACCUUUUCAAUGACAUGAUCAACAAAAAGCUCCUGCUAGAGCGCCCUCUCCUAGAUCGACGUUUUACUUGUCCAAUAAACGAAAACAAGUAGUACAUGGUAAUUUAGUUCACCUUGAGCUGUUGCAUGCAAAUGGUAGAGCGGCUGUUGUUUAUGUGAAAAAAGAACUUUGCAAAGGUACUAGUGGAACAAAAUUAGCAAACUUGUAGAACAAAGAAACUAUGACAUUUAAAGUAAAAGGACGCCAAGUGAAGCCCAAAUAUGCAUGAUAUUAUUUCCCCUCCCCACUACAUGAGAAAAUGGGACGAAAAGUUGCCUAUUACAAAACAAAGUUCAUAAGGCCCUGUACAAUGCAAGGUGCUUGGGAUAGGUGCUUAGAGAAAUAAACCAGUUUUUCUCUAAGUAUCGGUGCUUAUUUGUAGAGGGUAGACGCUUAAUUAAGCGUCUGUCCUAUAGAAAUAAGCACCGGUGCUUAAGAAGAACUCGGCUUAUUUUACUAAGCAUCUUCCUAAGCAUUUCCCAUGGUACAAGGCCUAACAUAGCAUACAUACAUUCUUGUGUUUUACAGCAAAGCAAGAAACAAUUACAUAUAUUGAUCAUUACUACUUUUUGAAAUAAACUGGUCAAUAUGCGACACCUUCUGCAUAAUCUUGGAUUGCAUGCCAUCGACAGAGAAGAGAAGAGCACAUCUCCAGGUCUCAACUGAAAAGAGCAGUCCAAACCAUAGCCAAAACCCAAAAACAACCCCAGCAGUCACACAGUAGUACAGCCACUGGUCCUCCCCUUCACCGGUUUUCUCAUCCGAAGCAGGCGAAGUAUUUGGACAAUCCUCUAGAGGAAAUCCGCAAAGGCCGGAAUUGUUCCGGUAAAUCGAAGGGUCGGUCAACGUCUGCAUCUGGCUCCCAGUAGGUAUCUUGCCUGACAAAUGAUUGUUCGAGAUGUUGAAUGUGCUGAGCCCGGACAAGAUCGAGAUGCUCUGUGGAAUGUUUCCAUAAAGCUCAUUACAUGAUAGAUCAAGAGACUCGAGAUUCCUCAAACUACCAAUAUCUUUAGGGAUGCCGCAUGACAGAUGGUUUCUUGACAGGUUUAGAAAUCGGAGGCCUUCCAGCCUAGUUAACUCUUCAGGGAUGCACCGAGACAACAUAUUGCCUGACAGAUCGAUGCCGGUUAAUAACCGGAUCGUUCUUUGGAAGAUGAGCUCCUGGCCCUUCCAGAUUAUAUCGAUUCUAUCCUGAUAAUUCGACCCAUCCAGCGCUGAUGCCUGACUCGACACAAUUUCUGGAUGCCUCAUGGAGGCCAUGUUGCCGAAUGCUACAGGGAUUGGUCCUGUCAGUCUGUUGUUGGCAAGGUCGAGCAGCUGGAGUUUAGAAAGCCGCGACAACUUCGAAGGGAUUUCUCCUGUGAAAUUGUUUGAUCUAAGGCUAAGGAUUCUCAACGAUGGAACACGGGUUCCUAUCCAUGGAGGGAUGGCGCCGAAGAACUUAUUAUUCCCGAUGUCGAGGGUGGUCAGCGAAUCGCAAUGAUCCAAGACCCGCGGGAAGGUGCCGGUGAAGUCAUUGCCGGCGAGAUGGAGCGACUCGAGGGAGCAGUUGUGACUUGCCUCGGCAGCGGGGAUUUGACCCGAGAAGGAGUUGUUGGAGAGGUCCAUGAACUGCAGCGCCUGCAGAUUCCACCAGCAGUCGGGGAGCUCGCCCGUGAGCUGGUUGUUGGACAGGUCGAGGAUCUGGAGGGAGAGGAGCCUGCAGAAGGCCGCGCCGGCGCCGGAGCUGUUGGAGGAGUUGCGGCUCCGUACGCUGAAGCUCUCAGGCACGGUGCCGCCGGAGAAGGUCUCGUGGUUUCCGCCGGCGUCGAGGUACAUGCCCGUUGCCCGUUGGGCAGAGGAUAGCAGUACUAGGAGGCAGAGGGGGAGGCACAGCAGAGGUGUUGUUGAAGCUUGGGCGUGCCCUGCCAUGGUUGGAAUUCGAGUGGAGCGAGUUGUUUGGUCUGCACGACGCCCACUUGUAUGUGGUGGCGGUGGCAGGACCGGGCCGACCGGCAGCGAAACGUCGACAACAGCGACCGAGCGACGCCGACUCUGUGGAAUUCUGGAGCGCGGCAUGCGUUUUCCACACGGCAUACCAGUGGACUGACUGACCGACGGGAAGAGUAAAAGACUCGGGAUAGUUACACGUGGGGACGACGAGACUCUGAUGCUUGCUUUUUCUUUCUUUUUUUUGACGGGAGACGCUGCCAUGCGCCCGCUAGUCGUUGAUACCAGUGGACUGUAUCCGCGUUGUGGGCCCGCCCAAUAAUUCUUCCCAAUGCCUGUUCGCCGAGUUUGUGGUGAACGAGAAGCAGACGAAAACCAAAACGAUCGAACCAGAAACUCGGCGAACGAGAUCGCUCGAUUGCUUCACAAACUAUUUCACUAGAAAAAUGUGAAGAAGAAAAAAAUAAUCUCUUUUUCAAUAGAAACAUGUGAAACCAACCUAUUUCACUGUAAACCUUUUUUUUUUGAAAACCCCUCCCAUAUAUUAAUUAAUUAAAAUUGUUCAUACAAUCGUCUAUUACAACUUCAGCCAUGCAUGGCGGAACACUAUUAAGACUCACACCAUCAUACCUAUUAACAAAACUGAAUUUAGCAAUUUCAUGCGCCACCUUAUUGGCCCUUCUGUUAAUCUUGGAAAUCUUGAAACUUGUCAUCAACCAGAAAAUGCUCAAUGCUUUCAUCAUACAGAUCAACUAGGGAAGACCCGUCCAAAUAAUCGUUUCCUAGAAAGGAGCCACAAAAGAACAAUCAGUUUCUAAGAUGAUGGGCUUGUAUAGAGUAAUACCGAUGUAAAGCCCUGCGAGGGUCGCUCUAAGUUCCGCUUCAUCCACGCUAUUGCAAACCCCAAUAUAAUCCCAUGAAAAAAUGAUCACUUCUCCUAAAUGAUUCCUGGCAACCACACCCACACUCGCAGAGCUAAUGGCCUCCACAAAGCUUGCAUCAACAUGAAUCUUAAUGGACUCCGGGUCAGGUGGCUGCCAAUUCGCAACUUUUUCUUUCACUUCAAUGGUAUCAUAAAACCCAUCGACCCUUUCCUUACCUUUGUUGGUAACCUCCAUCUUCCUAUUGGUAUGACAGGACGAGAAGGACCCCCAGUAGUUUUGAAUAAAGCUUACAGAGGUAGAGAUAGUUUCCUUUCCCUAUUUAACCCAAAUACGAAACUGAAAUGUCAACUUGUGCACUUGAUUAUUUAAAAUGUGUAAUAAUUUAUUUUCAAAGAGUGAAAUGUGUUAUUUCAAAAAUGCGCAAUUGAAAUAUAUGUGUUUUUUGUGAAACAAACUAGUGGAAAAUGAAAUGUAGGUUCUCAAAGUGUAAUAUAAUAUGAAACUGAAGAUGUCAACUUGUGAAACUGAUUAUUUAGAAAUGUGUGACAAUUAUUUCAAUAGAGUGAAAUAUGUCUCGAAACAUUAAUUGAAAUGGAUGCGGUACUGAAACUGGUCUGGAAACUGAAUUGCGUGCGGUCUGGAAAAUUCAAUUUCAUAUUUUAGUGUCACAUUAUAUAUACUAGUUACAUUCUGAUUUCAUAUUUCAAUCUCACAUUAAUUGAAAUGGAUGCAUUACUAAAACUGGUCUGAAUAUUGAAAUGGAUACAAUCUGAAAAUUUCAAUUUUUUAUUUCAUAUCAGUGUCAGAUUAUAUAUAUAUUAGUUGCAUUCCAAUUUCACAUUUCAAUCUCAAAUUAAUUGUAACCAAUGUGGUACUGAAAUUGUCUGAACAUUGAAAUGAAUGCGAUUUCAAUUUUAUAUUUCAGUGUCACAUUAUAUAUACUAGUUGCAUUCCAAUUUCAUAUUUCAAUCUCACAUUAAUUGUAAAAAUAUAUCUUUUAGUUGAGUGAAAUAUGUUUUUUGUAAUCGGUGAAAUAAAGUUACUUGAAAUGAAUUCAAUAUUGAUCUUUUUUUUGAAUAAAAAGGUAGAGCAUUUUCUACCUUAUGCAUUCAAAACGGGUAAAAGUACCCGGAUGACCGGAGUCAUUUACAUGAAGGUGAUGUUAGCGCCGCACAUUGUGUGCAGCAGGCCAUCACCAGACCUGAAAAAGGAUACAAAGCAGAGGGUGGGAGAAGGAGGGGCGAUUUCUGGAAAGGCUAAUUAGUAGCGAGAGCAUUUGCCCAGAGAAAAAGGCUAUGUCUAUCAUGUGGUUUAGCGCGUAGGCUCCAUAGCCUGACGAGAUCGGCAACCUUGUUGUAUAACUACCUCUCAUUCCAAAAGGACCCGUCAAACACCUGAGCAUUCCUUGCAUUCCAAAGGGCGACUGCGCAUGCUGUGAAGAGGACAUGCCACUUGGUGCCGUGUCGAGCCCGCGAGUGCUGCGAACACAAGAGAUCACCUGCUCCAAUAGAAGAUGAGGCAAGGUCUUGUACUCCAAGCUUGGACCAUAUGGCUUGAGCUAGCUUGCAUCUUAGCAAGAUGUGAUUCAUUGUCUCUGCGGCCGGGCAUAGAUCACACCCGUUAUGUGACACAAGUCUGUCCCAAUGCUUUUUUAGCAUAUUGUCUCUAGUGUUGUGUCUGUCCUGGAGGGCAAUCCACAAGAAAAUACGGUGCUUGUGCGAUAUGAUCCUGUCCCAGAUGUAUUUAGCUGACGGACAAAACUUCCCUCUAAAAGUGAGCAGUUUGUAGAAGUAUGCGGUGGUAGCAGAUUUGUCUCCCAAAAGAGGCACUAUGAUGUCUGGUGUACCUUCGUGUAGCUGAACAUUGCUCAAGCACGCAGACAUGUCCUCGAGCUCUUGUGUUGCUAUGGAAGAGAGGUUUGGAUGAAGUUGAAUGUUCCAUUGGCCAUCUCUAAACUGGGACGCAAAUGUGUAGAACUUGGACGCGGAGAAGGAGAAAAGAGUCGGGAAGCAUGUCACGAGUCGACCACACUCGAGCCAGUGGUCGUGCCAGAAGGCAGUACCCUGUCCGUCCCCAACCUUGCAUUUGGUAGCCUCCAUGACCAGACGCAAGGUGGACCUGAAGCCUCUCCAGAUAGCGGUGUCCCGAUUGUGAGGAGACCAGGAAAUUUCCUUGUGAAAGUAUGUGUGUGCAAACCAACUGUAGCAUGGAGCGUCACGCUGUUGCAAGAUCUUUGCCAUGAACUUGUAGACGAGGGCCCUAUUGUGUGCUGCAAUGUCUCUUACCCCCAACCCUCCAUGCUCUUUUGGCAAUGUGACCACUUCCCAAGCGACAAGGCAUUGUCCUCCCUUGGUCUGGUUCUUCCCUUGCCAUAAGAAGCCCCUUAGGAUUUGUUCAACCUUGUGUAGUGAUUGUUGUGGUCAUAGAAAACAGCCCGUGAAGUAACUGGGCAUCGCUGCCAGGACUGCAUUAACCAAAGUGAGGCGUCCCCCCCAAGACAGAAAGGUUGCAAGCCAGCCAGACAGUCGCUUGUCCACUUUGUGAAUUGUGACGCCCGGAUAAUUAAGCUACAGUAAAUCCCUGCUAAUGGUGCCACAUCAUCACAUUACUGUUGCUAAUCCUCACUUGAUCCAAAUCACUAUUCAUAUUCAAACUCAAAUUUAAAGUUAGCAUUCAAAUUUGCCAAACAUGAAAACUAAAAUGUUCAAAGUGUGGCAAAUAAUCCCUGGGUAUUUGUCAUGUUGGAACCAACCUCUUUUGGAUUUUUGAAAGUGCCCCUGGAAAUUAUUUAGUGGUCCAGCAUCAUUUGAAAUUGGCCUUUUCAAUUUCUAAAAAUGGCUAUACAACUCCUUUUGACCCCCAUACUUUUUGUUCCAUCGCAUUAUAUUGUGUUAGAAUUAUGCGCCAAGUUUUGUUGAAAACAAAACUCAUUUGUUACUAAAAGGAAAUGCAAAACGAAGAGGUUUAAAGAAAUGCAUCAAAAGAAAACUGACACUGUACAUCUGGGCUCUAAGUCCACAGUGCACAGCCCAGCCCACCUAUCCCUCUUCUCCUUCCUACUGCUCACAGGGAGCUCGGUGGCCUCACUUGUCGCGUCCACGCCGCGGAUCCUCCACGCGGUGGCCAUCCGGAUCUCCCUGGCAUCAACAAGACUCCCCCCUUGAUCCUGGACGAACCCUAGCUGCCUUAUCCCCUCUCUCUCGGUCGCCCCCUUCUCGACAGCACGCACCCGCCGCCGCCGUCAUCGUUCCCGCGCUCUUCGUCGUUCCGUGCCGCCAGCUGAUGUCCGGGAUGGAUCACCGUCGUCCUCUACGUCGCCUACGCGUAACCGUUCGAGCUCGGAGGCUCGAAAUCGCCGCCAUCAACCGCGUCAUCUUCUUCACCUGCGGCCACCGAGGCCUCCACCGUCGAUCCCCGGCUGUCCCUACCUCACCGUCUCCCCCGAGCCCUCUAAGUGCAUCUACAGGCUCACUAUGAGCUCCUCUCCACGUUUCCCCGCCUUUCCCCCUCGAUUUCGUCGUAGUUUGGCCGCGCCCACCGGGGCCCGUGCCCGUCCUGCUUCUGUACUACGCACCUGAACUCCAGCGCGCACAGCCGCGCUUUCCGCCCGUGCAUGGCCGCCCUCCUGCGCCCUCGUCUGCCUGCUGCUCUUGCUCUGUUGCCGCGCCGCUGAACACCACGCCGCGUGUGCCCGCGCUGUCUCGUACUCCUCGCCGUAGCUCGUCGGCCCCGCCGCUGCCGCUCGCCCUCCCACCUCUGCAUUCGGAGCGCGGCCCCUCCCCGGCCCCCACCUACUUCGCCCGCUGCCUGCUGCUGUCGCUGCAGCAGCAGCUGCGCCCCGCCGNNNNNNNNNNNNNNNNNNNNNNNNNNNNNNNNNNNNNNNNNNNNNNNNNNNNNNNNNNNNNNNNNNNNNNNNNNNNNNNNNNNNNNNNNNNNNNNNNNNNNNNNNNNNNNNNNNNNNNNNNNNNNNNNNNNNNNNNNNNNNNNNNNNNNNNNNNNNNNNNNNNNNNNNNNNNNNNNNNNNNNNNNNNNNNNNNNNNNNNNNNNNNNNNNNNNNNNNNNNNNNNNNNNNNNNNNNNNNNNNNNNNNNNNNNNNNNNNNNNNNNNNNNNNNNNNNNNNNNNNNNNNNNNNNNNNNNNNNNNNNNNNNNNNNNNNNNNNNNNNNNNNNNNNNNNNNNNNNNNNNNNNNNNNNNNNNNNNNNNNNNNNNNNNNNNNNNNNNNNNNNNNNNNNNNNNNNNNNNNNNNNNNNNNNNNNNNNNNCGCUGCCCCUUCGUCGGUUCGCCGCACACCGCCAAGCCCGCGCGCCCGCUGGCCGUUGUCGCGGCUCCAGCCGCCCUCCCUCGCGCCGUUCGCCGCCCACCGGCGUCUCGCCGUCCAGCCGCUGCCCCACGGCGAUGCCCGGGUUCGGCUCCCCCAGGGCUCCUUUCGCCUAUGCCCGCACGCCCAUUAACCCGCUCCCGGCUGGGCCUAUGACAUGUGGGCCCAGCCCCAAAACAAAGAGAACUAAAACUAAUUAAAUAGGUUAAUUAAUUAAUUAAAGAAUUAAUUAACUUAAUUGUUUUAGGUUAAUUAAUUUAACUUAAUUAACCUGUCUAAUUAACUAGCUAACUAAGUUAAUUAGCUAACAGUCAAUGACAGUGGGACCCCUCUGUCACUUUGACUGGUCAACAUGUCAAAGUUGACUACUGACAUCACUCUGACCUCAUGCAGACAUCAUUAUUCUUUUUCUGUCGAAUUUAGUAAUUACACAUAAUUUCAUAAUAUUCUUUAAACUUCAGAAAUUCAUAGAAAAUAAUCCGUAAGUCAGGUGAAAAAGUUUUAUAUAUGAAAAUUGCUCAAAAAAAUCCAAUGAUCCAAAUAUGCAACCCAUUCAUCUGUCACACGCCCCUAGCAUAGCGAACCUGCAACCGUCCCCCUCCGUUCCAACUGUCCGAAAAUGCCAAACUUCGAGAAAACCUUCCCAGAUGUUUUUCCCCCUUCGCCGGUAUCGUGUAGCCUUGCGUUAGUUCACCCCUAGCGCUGCUUUUGUCUUGUCAUGCAUAGUAUUGCACUUGUUUGCUUCAUACUUAUUGUUUCUUCCCCCUCUUCUCUCUGGUAGACCCGAAGCUUAAUAGACGUCAUGCGACUGAGCGGCGCGCGCCGGGUUGGACUGGUAAGCACCUGCCCUUUUAAGGAGGUAGCUAGGUCUGCUCACCGGCCGCCCAUGCAACGUGCAAGAGUUCCCGGGGCGAUGGCCCAUGACCCCUGGGGGCAUAGGUUUAGUCCGGUGUGUUGACCUCUCUAUUUGGCCUAGGUCAGGUUGCGGCGUAUCGUUUGGCCGAGGCCAGGCAUGACCCAGAAAAGUGUGUCCGGCCGGAGUUAGUGCACCCCUGCAGGGAAGAAAACAUCUAUCGAUAGCCUGUCCUACGGUAACGGACACUUGGAGUUGUAUCCCUAUUGAUACAACUAGAGCUGGAUCAUUGAGGUCAUAACUGGAUAGUAUGGCUCUGGGAUUGCUUUCUCGCAGGGAGUCGAGAAAGGAUCUCUGGCCGAGGUUGAUAACACUACUACUACUUUACUUUAUGCUACUCUUAUCUCUUCUAAUGCUGCAAGAUGCUUGGAGCCGCUUGAAGAUGCUAGUCUUCGAUAGGACUAGGCUUUCCCCUUCUUCUCUGGCAUUCUGCAGUUCAGUCCACAGAUACUACCCAUUUCAUUGACACCGAUGCAUAUGUAGUGUAGAUCAUUGCUUGCGAGUACUUUGGAUGAGUACUCACGGUUGCUUUGCUCCCCUUUUUCCACCUCUUUCCAUUCUCCUCGGAUGAUGCAACCAGAUGGUGGAGCCCAGGAUCCAGACGCCACCUUCAACGACGACUGCUACUACACUGAGGGUGCCUACUACUACGUGGAGGCCGCCGACGACCAGGAGCAGUUAGGAGGCUCCCAGGCAGGAGGCCUUGCCUUUUCGAUCGUUGCUGCUUUUGUGCUAGCCUUCUUAAGGCAUACUUGUUCAACUUAUGUCUAUGCUCAGAUAUAGUUGCUUCCAUUGACUCUUGUGUAUUCGAGCUGAUGUAUUCGAGCCCUCGAGGCCCCUGGCUUGUAAUAUAAAGCUUUUAUUAUUUUAAUUUGUGUCUAGAGUUGUGUUGUGAUAUCUUCCCGUGAGUCCCUGAUCUUGAUCAUACACAUUUGCGUGUAUGAUUAGUGUACGAUUGAAUCGGGGGCGUCACAUGAAUCACCGGCAUCAACAGGCCAUGUGUGAUCUUGUUGAGAGAGAGGGGUAAUCCCAGGUAUGUGCCCGGGAAAGCUGUCACUUGACAUUGCAGAACAUCUGCAAUACUCUGACAAGUCUGCGGGUCAAGGCAUACUGGCAUGAGAGUUGUCGUGGUUUUGUCACGGCAGAUGUCCUAGAGAAAGGACUUAGUCAUGGAGCCAUCGCUACGGGUUAGCUUAAAGGGGUUAAAGCGGACAAGGGACGCAAGAGAGUUUUAUACUAGUUCGGCCCCUUACGAUGAAGGUAAGAGCCUACGUCUAGUUGUGAUGGAAUUGAUGGGGUUUCGAUGACCAGGGAGCGAAUACGCUUUGCCUGAGUCUCGAGUUGUUGUCUGUUGUCCCUGAACCACCGCCGGGUCGUCCCCUUAUAUACAUGGGUUGACGCCCGUCGGUUUACAGAAUCCCGAGGUCGGCUCAUAAUCGUGUCUGGCUCGGUCUCUGCUACUUCUACCUUACAAUACAAGUUUACAUAUCAAUGCCGGUUUAUGUCUACAGGCCUUAAACCGGCUUUGGGCCCUGGGCCUCCAUAAAGCGUCACCGUCUGUCUUCAUGGGCUUCAGAUACAGAUGAACUACUUAUGGGGUUAACCCGGCCUCUCCUGGCCGGUUUACGCCCAGUGGUAAUAUCCCCAACAUUAGGCCCCAGAUUGAUUUGAACUGGUUCAUGUCAAUCCUCAAUACUUAAGAAAAUUUCUUCUUCAACAUCUUCACAUAAUCUUGUAAACCGCCGUGACAUCAUCUUCUAGGAUCAUGGUAAACCGCCGUGACGUCACCUGUCAUUAACAAGCCUCCGACAAUCGAGGCGACAGCUCCGCCUCAUAUCCAAAAUUUAGGCUCCUCAAUUUUCGCGCCUGACGCUUAUCUUUCUGCCCUUAUAAAUAGGACCGGGGGUUAUUUUCACUUUUCCCCUUCAUACCUCUUCACCUCGUCAUCUUCCUCGCGCCGCCCCAGCGUUUCGAGCUCAGCCGCCGCCGUCAAGCCUUCGUCUUUGACCUCAACUCCGGCCGCUGCAUCACACUGAUCGUGCCAGAGAAUCGCGACGCCACUCCGCUGUUCCAUCAGCAUCAGUAAGUCUUCUUUCUUUCCACCCCAGAUCUGCUACUAGGGUUUCAGUGUUCAACGGUGUUCUUCGGUGUUCGUCGGUAUUCAUUGCUGCGCAAUAAAUCCUGACUCAAACCUUGACUUUUAUCCGUAUAGCAAUAUCCAUAGUUCUUCUUUCCAUUAGUGCAUCUCAUCUAAGUAGAAAAUCUCAUCUGUAUCCUUCAACUAUUCAAGUACCAGAAUAUUUAACCCUGAAUAUUUUUCCACUUUCUGACGCGUGGUAGAUCCAGAUUUGUAAUACCAACUUGCAAAACCUAAUGUUCCAUCACUUAGUUAUUUCAGAUCUGUUCCUUCACUAUUAACGUAGGCGGUUUAACUUCGUAUACAAAAUGAUGAACUAUGUAGAUACCAUUAGUCCCCUGUUGAACCGCCAACGCAUUACACUGUUUCCAUUGUCAGACUCCGGUUUACGAAUAACCAAAUCCGGCUUAUCAGUAUGCUUGUAUCCUUAUACCGCUCUAUAGUUAUCCACUGUAAAUUUUAAACCGGCAAUAAUCAUGUUUCAGAUUUCCAUUGCCAUGGCCAAGCAAGUCUAUGAAUGCAAUUGGGCUCCUUCUUGAGUAACCGAAGAACAAUUGAACAAUCUUGUUAAAACGAGCGCUUUAGCCAAAAAAGAUGUCAUCCACUCGAGGGUCCCUGGCCCGGAAAAUCCUCCUACACCCAAGGACGGAGAGGUAGUUGUGUUUGCUGAUCAUCUUGGACGAGGUUUUAGCCCUCCCGGUUCAAAAAAUUUCCGAGAUGUACUAGCCAAUUUUCAGCUGCGUCCUCAAGACAUCGGUCCCAACUCUGUGACCAACAUCUGCCACUUCCAAGUCUUCUGUGAGGUUUAUCUGCAAGAGGAACCUACAGUCAAAUUGUUUAGGGAUUUCGUUCACUUAAACCGUCGCACAGAGUUCUCGGAUGGACCCAAUACGGAACUGGGCGGAAUGGCGGUUCAGAAAAGGAAAGAAGUCACCUUCCCUCAUCCCAAACUCCACAGUCACCCCAAAGAGUGGAACCAGACUUGGUUCUAUUGCAUGGAUACAUCUCCACCUGAUGAAAAAACCCUGCCCGGUUACCGCCCUGAACGCCUGAGCAACACACAUCCUUGUCCUCAGAGGUUGACUGCAAGAGAAAGGGCCAACUAUGCUCCUCAAUUGUCAAAGCUUAGAGCCUUCAUGGCAAACGGUUUGACAGGAGUUGAUCUUGCCCGUUGUUGGAUAAGCUGGAGUGUUCUUCCCUUAAGCCGGCGCCCCGGUUUGAUGUGUGAGUAUACGGGGAGUUUGAAGGAUGCUCAGCAGCACAUUGACAUUCAGCUUACAGAUGCAGAAGUCACUUAGGCUGUAAAAAAGAUACUGAACGAACCAGAGGCUGUCUGUGCCCAAACCGGACUACUCCCUUUCUGCACCUUCAACAAACCACUAGCUGUAAGAAUCAUAUAAUAUUUUUAUCUGAAGUUGCUUCUGUCCAAAUAUUCUCUGAAAGUGUGAUUAUUUUCUGACAGGGUGAUGAUCCGUUCUGGAACAAGAAACCAUCACAAGACAAACCGGCGAAGCCGCAAGACAAACCGGUCAAGCCAGUUCGUCCAAAGACCAAGGUUGUUAAAAAAACCUGCCAAGAAAAGGACCACUGCAUCCUCCGAUCUAUGAGCUGAUGACGAUGUGGGUAAUCCGGAACCAGAGGUAGAACUUGACUCUCUUGGUUCAUUUUUCGUACAUCUCAUUGACAAUGAUUAUUAUCAGAACGACACUGAAGGCAGUCAUGCUGAGGACGUAGAGGUAACCAUUCUUUCCUCCGAUUCAGAUCCACUGCCAACAUCCAAAAUCCGUCAAGCAAACCGGAAAGUAAAAUUUUCUCACCCUCUUGCUUACUUGGACCCAAACUUUCUUUUGAAGACGCAGCAGCACGAGGCUCGCCGUACAACCCGGCACAGCGGCCAGGUAGUUACCUCCGCCAGUUUACCGAACAGUCCGGUUCGGAAACGCCGAUCAGAGGUCUCUUAUCCCAUUGAUACUUCAUACCCCAAAGCAGGUUGUUUCUGCCAGCCUCUUAACCCGUCUGAUUCAAAUUAUCAGGGUACUUCUCACUCAUUUUCUGGCGAGUCAUCGGCCACACAGCUUCCACCCCUCAAAACAGUUCCUGGGUGAGCUAUGCACGUGUCUUUAUUCUUGAUGUGUUAUCUUUUUAUACUGUACUGAUCCUUAUGUCUAUCUUUUCUCAGCGCCAAGCCGAGACCCAGCAAGAAGGCUCGGUUAAGCAAACUGGCUGAUGAUAAUGUAGCUGUUGAACCGGAAAAAACUCCAGAUCCGGAAGAAACCGAUGCUGAUGACAUGCUUAAUGAUCCGCCGCCUCAAGACCAUGACUUCCUUGCCGAACAAGUGCAAGCUGACACUACAAGCCAUGCAGACCGGCUGACCAGCCCUGUCCGAACCUUUGACAAACCGGUCAGUCCAGUUAAGGAUACUGACAAACCGCCAACUCCAGAGAAGGCUGAUGAUGACCAAUAUGAUGACAUUAUGAUUACUGGCACUGUCCACACCACUCCUGGCAAUCCUGUUGCUUUGUCAAAGCAUACUGCCAAGGACGAUCUCUCUGCUAUCGGCAAAGGCAAAUGGAAUGCCGAUUUAUCAAGCUACGCCCAUCUCAACGCUCAAGACAUUCACUCUGGCUUCUUGAACCGUCUGUAUACCAGCCGUGAUUAUGAAGCUAGUUUGGUAAACUUGAUGAAGGAGCGAUAUGAGGUAACUUUCAUAAGUGUUUCUCUCUUAUACUUACUUGCAGCUUAUCAAAUCCAGUAGCCCCCCAAGUGACGGUUUAAGAUACCAAGUUAAACUGGGACUUAGUCACAAUUUCAUGUUUGCAACAAUGCAUCUUAACUUCACUGAUGUAGCCCCCAAGGGCCAGUUUAACUUUAUAAAGAUAAACCGGGACUUUGUAGAAGAAUUCCCAUAUCAGCAUUUUAUGAGCAAAUACACAUUAGCUCCCAAGUGCCAAGCUUAAUACUUGUAUUGUGCUUGGGACUUGUAAAAAUUUCUGAGUAAGAGCAAAUAUGCAUUAGCCCCCAAGUACUAAGGGCAUAACUUGUUAUGUUCUUGGUACUUCAAAUAUGUACUGUCAACUCAUUAUUAUCUGUCUCUUUAUAGGCUGAACUGAGCAAGAAGGAAAGCCAAACCGCUGAUAUGCAAGAGAACAUCAAGUCCCAACAGGCCGAAACUUCCAAAGCAAAAGAUGAGCUGACAAGCGCCUUAGACGCUAUGGAAAAGCUAAAGGAGAGCUUCGCCAAGGAGCGGGCGGAUUGGAACACAGAGAAAUCUGCUUUGCGGAAAAGAGCUGAAGACGCAGAAGCAGCUCUCAAACUGGUGGUAGACGAGCUGACUGGUGUAAAGCGGCAGAUACAUGCCAUGACUGCUGCUGUGUUCGGUAAGCAUCCUUGCUUUAUACUUUCAACAUAUCUUCCCAUGCGUUGCCGGUUUACUGAUGUUUGCCAUGAUGCAGGAACUCGCAUUAGUCAUCUGGGCUCUGAUGUUCAGAAGAAGCUGAAGGCUGCCUACACGCUGAUAGAGCAACUGUAUACCGGCGCACAACAAAUUAUCUGCACCGCUUCUCACAAUAAGCCGCCCGACGUUAAUCAAAGAUACCUUAGACAGGCUAUCUAUGCUGCCUGCCCGGGUAGAAGAGCUGAAGAGGUCUGCUGCAAGGGCUGGCGCUCUGACCGCACUAACCCGGGCAAAAGCAUGGGUGCCUGACCUUCAUCCGACGGACGUGGCUAAGGCUACCCAAGCUUAAAAGAAGACGGAUCAGAAUUUUGCACUGAAGAUCUCUGCGCCAUAAACCGGGAAGUACGUCCACUGGCUUGUCAACUUGCUGAAGAGGCUGAUCUUUCAUUUUACCAGGCGAGUUAUGAUACCAAUAACAAGCGGGUUGCCGCACCAACUCCCGAGGCUCAAAACCUGAUCCCUCCAAUCCGUAAGCACACUUAUGCCCCUGACAUUGAACCAUCCACCCUUAUAAGCGACGAAGCUGUGUUCCAAGCUUUAACUGGGAUCGACUGGACAACUGUUGACUUCCAGCCACUGGGUAGGGACGAAGAAGAUGAACCGGUGCAAGAUGAUCCGCAGCCGUCAGGUCAAGCUGAUAAGCAAUCAUAAUCCGGGGGCCGGUUUAGUUUUUUCACGUGCUGUAAUGCUUAUUGAGAAACAAUUAUCCCUUUGGGCACUGAAACGCCUUGUAAUAGGCUAGUUAAAACACUUGGUCUGUUAUGCCUUCGUGCAUAUUUAUCUGCAAUUGAUGCGUGCUAAUCCGCCAUGCUUAAGAUAUGAUGUUCAUAAUCCAUAGCUAUUUGUUCAAGUUGCUCCUGCAGAUAAGAAUCUUAAACCGCCCUGGCGGUUUACCACCGGGCGGGUCAUGAUACCCAAAUAUAUAUAUGACCAAGGUUUAUAACCAAGAUUGUAAAAGAUAACCAAAUAUGGAAAUAUAUGAUAGCUGUGACCUUUAGGGAUAGUGUUGGCUGACCAACUUUGUAAUGAGGGUAAUAACCCUAAUCCGGAGUAGAAAUAACUCCUGUUAUAUGAUGCGGGUUUAUCAGAAAACCGUUCCGGGCUAUGAUAAACACCGGUUUAUUUCAUACUGGUGACUUUGAGUCAAAACCAGACCGGGCUGAUAGUCUCUGGAUUAUAAUUUGAUCGUGUACUGACAACUUGUAGUUGACAACCUAACCGGGUUGAUAAACACCGGUUUAAAAAACAUCACAAAUCUUAUGAAAACAAAGAAAGCUUAGCAAAAGGCAAAUGAAAACCGUUGUAGUCGAGGCUUUUUACGGGCUGCCAGGCCCUAAAUUCAACAGCAAAGAAUCCCCAAGCAACAUUGUUAGCUGUGCUUAGUGGGUGCCUAUGUUUGAGCUGUUGUUUUACAACACUCUCUUUGGCCACGGACUGAUGUGGCUUUGAGCCGAUCAAGAGGUGUGACUGUGGUUCGGAUACGACCAAGCCCCCAAGUGAUGCUGUGGCAUUGCGCCGAUCAAGAGGUGUAGCUAUGGUCCGGGUUCGACCAAGCCCCCAAGUGAUGCUGUGGCAUUACGCCGAUCAAGAGGUGUAGCUAUGGUUCGGAUACGACCAAGCCCCCAAGUGAUGUUCUGGCAUUACGCCGAUCAAGAGGUGUAGCUAUGGUUCGGAUACGACCAAGCCCCCAAGUGAUGCUGUGGCAUUACACCGAUCAAGAGGUGUAGCUAUGGUUCGGAUACAACCAAGCCCCCAAGUGAUCUAAUAUGAAGCUUUGAGAAGCUAAAUCAAGGGGUAAACCGGACGCCGCUUUGUAAGCUCCAUGUAACCACACAUGAUGUAAGAAAAACAACAGAUACCCCGCUUUAGCUGAGGUUCCGGUUUAUUGUAUUGAUCAUAAUAUAUACAUUGUCAUAAUAUGUACAUAAGCAGAGCCUAUAGCUCAAGUAUAGUAAGGCCGAAGAUGAGCAAUAUUCCACGGCCGGUUGGUCUCCUCCUCCGAUUUACGUGAGUCUUUGCGCUCUCGAACAUCGAUUAGGUAGUACGACCCGUUGUGUAGAUUCUUGCUGACCACAAAGGGUCCUUCCCAAGGGGGGGAUAGCUUGUGCAUAUCCGUCUGAUCCUGGAUGAGCCGAAGCACCAAAUCACCUUCUUGAAAGGUUCUGGUUCUAACCCGGCGGCUAUGAUAACGACGCAGAUUUUGCUGAUAAAUCGCCGAACGGGCUUCCGCCAUGUCACGUUCCUCAUCUAACAGGUCAAGAGCUUCCUGCCAUGCCUUCUCGUUGUCAACUUCAACAUAUGCCGCUGCACGAGGUGAGUCAUGACGGAUGUCACUAGGAAGAACUGCUUCCGCUCCAUAAACCAUGAAGAAUGGUGUGUAUCCUGUCGAUCUGUUGGGUGUGGUAUUGAUGCUCCACAACACAUAAGGUAACUCCUCAACCCAACAACCCGGCGUCCGUUGCAAAGGAACCAUAAGCCGGGGUUUGAUGCCUCUCAAGAUCUCUUGAUUGGCCCUCUCCGCUUGACCAUUGGACUGGGGGUGAGCCACUGAUGACACAUCAAGCCGGAUGUGCUCACGUUGACAGAACUCCUUCAUGGCACCCUUUGACAGAUUGGUACCAUUAUCUGUUAUAAUACUUUGUGGAAAACCAAACCGGAAGAUCACCUUUUUGAUGAAUUGAACCGCCGUGGCCGCGUCACACUUACUAACUGGCUCUGCCUCCACCCACUUCGUGAACUUAUCAACCGCCACCAAAAGGUGGGUCUUUUUGUCCUUGGACCUCUUGAAAGGCCCAACCAUAUCCAGCCCCCAAGUUGCAAAUGGCCAGGUGAUAGGAAUCAUCCUCAAUUCUUGAGCCGGUACAUGAGUGCGCCUUGAAAAUUUCUGACAGCCAUCACAUCUUUUGACCAAGUCCUCGGCAUCAGCAUGAGCUAUCAACCAAUAGAAACCGUGACGAAACGCCUUGGCCACCAAAGAUUUUGAACCAGCGUGGUGACCACAAUCUCCUUCGUGGAUCUCACGUAAAAUUUCACGGCCUUCCUCAGGAGACACACAACGUUGAAACGCCCCUGUCACACUGCAAUGAUGUAACUCUCCAUUGAUAAUAGUCAUGGACUUGGACCGCCGGGUUAUCUGCCUGGCCAAAGUUUCAUCCUCUGGUAACUCGCCCCGGUUCAUAUAUGCGAGAUAUGGAACCGUCCAAUCCGGGAUAACAUGAAGAGCUGCCACCAACUGAGCUUCCGGAUCAGGAACGGCCAAAUCCUCUUCACCAGGGAGCUUGAUGGACGGAUUAUGCAGAACAUCCAUGAAGACAUUAGGUGGAACCGGUUUACAUUGGGAACCCAGGCGGCUUAAAGCGUCCGCCGCUUCAUUCUUCCUCCGGUCCACAUGAUCCACCUGAUAACCUUUAAAGUGACCUGCAACAAUAUCCACCUCAUGACGAUAUGCUGCCAUGAGUGGGUCCUUGGAAUCCCAAGUGCCGGACACUUGUUGAGCCACCAGAUCCGAGUCACCGAAGCAUUUAACUCGGCUUAGGUUCAUCUCCUUAGCCAUCCGAAGAGCAUGGAGUAAAGCCUCAUAUUCAGCUGCAUUGUUAGUGCAAGGGAACAUUAAACGGAGAACAUAACAAAACUUAUCACCUCGUGGGGAAGUUAAUACGACUCCAGCCCCCGAGCCCUCCAAUUGCCUGGACCCAUCAAAAUGAAUAGUCCAAUAAGUGUGAUCCGGCUUCUCCUCUGGCGCUUGUAAUUCUGUCCAAUCAUUGAUGAAAUCCACAAGUGCCUGAGAUUUGAUCGCCGUUCGGGGUAUGUAUUUCAACCCGUGAGGCCCGAGCUCUAUAGCCCACUUAGCAAUCCGGCCAGUUGCUUCCCUGUUCUGGAUUAUAUCUCCCAACGGAGCAGAACUGACCACCGUGAUGGGAUGACCUAGGAAAUACUGCUUGAGCUUCCGGCUUGCCAUAAAAACCCCAUACACCAAUUUUUGCCAAUGCGGGUACCUCUGCUUAGACUCAAUAAGUACCUCACUGAUAUAGUAAACCGGCCGCUGAACCGGAUAUUCCUUUCCUGCCUCCUUGCGCUCCACCACAAUAGCCACACUAACAGCCCGAGCGUUAGCUGCCACAUAUAGCAACAAUGGCUCUUUGUCAACCGGAGCAGCGAGAAUCGGCGGAUUAGCUAGCUGCCGCUUUAAGUCUUCAAAUGCUUCAUUAGUAGCGUCACUCCAGACGAAGUUAUCCGUUUUCUUCAGCAUCUGAUACAAAGGGAUGGCCUUCUCGCCAAGGCGACUGACAAACCGGCUCAACGCGGCAAUGCGGCCUGCCAGGCGUUGAACAUCAUUGAUACACUUCGGUUUAGCCAAGGAGGUGAUGGCUUUGAUCUUUUCCGGAUUAGCUUCAAUGCCCCUGUUAGACACCAAAAAGCCCAAGAGCUUGCCUGCGGGUACACCAAAGACGCACUUGGCCGGAUUAAGCAUCAUUUUAUAAACCCGCAGAUUAUCAAAGGUUUCCUUCAAGUCAUCAAUCAAUGUCUCCUUCUUCCUUGAUUUUACCACAAUAUCAUCCACAUAGGCGUGAACAUUGCGGCCGAUCUGUUUAUGAAGACAAUUCUGCACACACCGUUGAUAAGUCGCCUGGGCACUCUUGAGCCCAAAAGGCAUGGACACAUAGCAGAAGGCUCCAAAGGGAGUUAUGAAGGCUGUCUUUUCUUGGUCCUUAACUGCCAUUUUGAUCUGAUGAUAACCAGAAUAUGCAUCCAAAAAGCUUAAACGCUCGCAACCCGUCGUAGCAUCAAUAAUUUGAUCAAUACGGGGAAGAGCAAAAGGAUCUGCUGGACAAGCUUUGUUAAGAUCUGUGUAGUCUACACACAUACGCCAAGUGCCAUUCUUCUUGAGGACCAGCACCGGAUUAGCCAACCACUCAGGAUGGAAUACUUCAACGAUAAAUCCAGCCGCCAAGAGCCUGGCUACUUCUUCUCCAAUAGCUUUGCGUCUUUCUUCAUUGAACCGGCGGAGAAACUGCUUGACCGGUUUAUACUUAGGAUCAACAUUGAGAUUGUGCUCAGCGAGUUCUCUCGGUACACCAGGCAUGUCAGAAGGCUUCCAUGCAAAGAUGUCCCGAUUCUCACGGAUGAACUCAAUGAGCGCGCUUUUCUAUUUCGGAUCCAAGUUAGCGCUGAUGCUAAACUGCUUGGACGAAUCGCCAGGCACGAAGUCAACAAGCUUAGUCUCAUCAGCCGAUUUAAACUUCAGGGCCGGAUCAUGCUCUGUAGUUGGUUUCUUCAACGAAGUCAUAUCUGCCGGAUCAACAUUGUCCUUGUAAAACUUCAACUCUUCUAUUGCACAAACCGACUCAACAUAAGCCGCAUCACCUUCUUCGCACUCGAGAGCAAUCUUGCGGCUCCCAUGCACAGUUAUAGUUCCCUUGUGACCCGGCAUCUUGAGCUGCAGAUAGACAUAACAAGGUCGUGCCAUAAACUUAGCAUAAGCUGGCCGUCCAAAUAGGGCAUGAUACGAGCUUCUGAUUUUCACCACUUCAAAGGUCAAGGUUUCUGAUCUCGAGUCAUGCUCAUCUCCAAAAGCCACCUCCAGAGCUAUCUUACCAACAGGAUAUGCCGACUUACCAGGCACCACAGCAUGGAACACCGUAUUGGACGGUUUAAGAUUUUUAUCUGUUAACCCCAUGCGACGGAAAGUUUCAUAAUAAAGGAUAUUGAUACUACUCCCUCCAUCCAUGAGUACCUUAGUGAACUUAUAACCUCCCACCUGAGGUGCCACCACCAGAGCCAGAUGACCCGGAUUAUCAACCCGGGGCAGAUGGUCUUCUCUACUCCACACAAUCGGCUGCUCGGACCAGCGCAAAUAACGGGGCACCGCCGGUUCAACGGCAUUCACCACCCUUUUAUGAAGCUUCUGAUCGCGCUUGUCCAAGCUAGUGGUGAAGACAUGAUACUGUCCGCUAUUCAACUGCUUCGGGUUGCUCUGGUAACCCGACUGUUGCUGCUGCUGCUGACUGCCCUGAUGAUUAUAGCCACCUUGGUUACCCUGAUUACUUUGAUUGUUAUGUCCACCCUGAUUACCGUGAAAACCUGAACCAGAAUUUCCUCCGCCAUAACCCGGCCCAUGAGACCCGGGGCCCGAACCGCCUCCUGGUCCGUGAUCAUACUGGAAAGAAUCAUAAUUUUUGAAUUCUUGCAUGAUGUAACAAUCUUUCCAGAGGUGCGUGGACGGUUCCUCCUUCGUACCAUGCUUUGGACAUGGCUGGUUCAACAGAUAAGACAAACGGUCCGGAUUGGGACUUGGCCCUCCACCGCGCCGGGGCGGUUUACCCUUACGCCGCUUGCCCUUAUCAUGUGUAUUAGUAUUAGCCACAAAGUCUAAACCGUGGUCCGCUUUACGCUUUCCGCCGUUUCCAUGACCCACCGGGUUGUGGUGCUGCCCCUUGGCGUUGCCGCUCUUCUUUCCCUUCCCUGUCUUAUCAUCGUCAGACUCGGGAUCCUUGGUACUAUCAGAGUCGGCAUACUUCACCAGUGCAGCCAUGAGGGUUCCCAUAUCAUUACAAUGACGUUUGAGCCGUCCCAACUUCAACUUCAGUGGUUCAAACCGGCAGUUGCCUUCCAAUGUUAAAACUGCGGUGUCAGCAUUGACGCGGUCUGAUGAAUGCAAAAUCUCCGAAACCCGGCGCACCCAGUGGGUUGUUGACUCUACUUCCUCCUGGACACAGGCAGCUAAGUCCACAAUCGACAUGGGCUGCUUGCAUGUAUCCUUGAAAUUCUGAAUAAACCGGGCUCUCAACUCGGCCCAUGACCUGAUAGAAUUAGCCGGUAAGCUCUUUAGCCAAGUGCGGGCCGUCCCUUCUAGCAUCAUGGUGAAGUAUUUUGCACAUGCCGUAUCAUCCACAUCCAGCAUCUCCAUGGCCAUCUCAUAGCUUUCGACCCAUGUUUCAGGGGAUAAAUCGGCGGUGUAAUUCGGCACCUUGCGCGGGCCCUUGAAAUCCUUGGGCAGGCGCACAUUACGCAACGCUGGGACAAGACAUGGCACUCCCAAAGAACUAGAGGUAACUCCUGGUUCCACCGAUGUGGUUGGACGAACCGGAGUAAGCUGACGGGCUUCAUGCUGUGCCGCUAACUCGGCCUCUCUGUGUGCCCGAGCCCGGUCCACCACCUCCUGAGCAUCACCAGCACCACCCGUCGGGUUAUUGCCACGGGGCGGAUCACGGUUCCGUGCAUUGCUUGACACUGCCGGUUCAUCCAUACGCCUGCUGUAACUCCGGCUUGGACGGGGAGUGGAAUGAAUCCGAUCGCGGCUGUAUGAAUAAGCCUCCUAUUGAACCAAAGCUGUCUGAAGAAGCUCCUUAACCCGACGCGUCUCGACCGCCACCGGAGAAUCGCCUUCGAUCGGGAUGGCCGCCAGCCGUGAAGCGGAAGCGACAAUGUUGUCCAUCGGGUUAGAAUAAUGACCCGGUGGCGUGGGGACAUGCGGUGCUACAAUGUUGUUCUGACGAGGCGGAUCCACCAAACGUGGCUGAACCGGCGCUCCUGCUCUAGGUGCCUCCGCCCGGUUUACCACCGGCGGAUUACUGGUCCCUGCUCCUGGGGUGUUAAAGAGAUUUCUAGUGCCAUAAACCGGCGGCAGGCGAGAUCGGUGCCUCCUCUUCAGGACUUCGUUCGACGCACUCUGAUCCAGCAUAAUCCGGUAAGCUUGUGCAUCCAAAGCGGCCCGCUCCGCGGCUAUCCUGGUAUCCUCAGCUGCUAAGUCGGCUUUGGCCUGGGUGAUCUGAUCUUUCACUUUUGCGAUUUCCGCAUUGUGCGCAUCCUGAUCGCCGGGUUAACCUCCGCCAUCAGCGUUGUCAAUGCGUCAAACAAAUCAAUAGAACCUGAGCUGGCGAUCGCACAGGGCCUCCUGCCCCGGCUGCUGCUGCCGCUGCCGAUCCGGAAAUCAUCGCCGCUGCGGUCGAAGAGUGGAGCGCCGGUUGCGUACCGGCCAUGAAGAUCGCAACCCGGUUUGGCAGAUCAGAGGGGUCCGGAAUAUUGUCGCCAUCGGAACAGCCCCCAAUCCGGCCAUCUUGUAACUGAUAUAACAACUCGAUCUCUCCGGUCGAUGACUCGUCGCCGGAAUAAACGACGGUCUCACCACCAGAUCCGAUCUAUUCUCAGAUUCCCCUCCAUGGAUAACUCCCACGAAGGCAUGCUUCAUGACAGGCUUGACCCGGGCAGAUCUCGCACGCUGAGCCGUUUCGACGAGGUCGGUGCAGAUGUCCGGCUCAGGGCCCGGUUCGCCGAUCUUGCCAACGAAAACGUGUAUGCCACCAAAGGGGACCCGGUACCCGUACUCGAUUGAGCUGGCCUCGGGCCCCAGCCUGCAUCGUCGAUGUAGAGCUUGCCGCGACGACUCUUAGUCAUCCGGCCCACAGCGUAACCCUUGAGUCCUUCGAAGUUGCCCUCCAAGAACUUGAAACCAUCGUGCGAUAGCCCCACGGUGGGCGCCAACUGUCGUGGUUUUGUCACGGCAGAUGUCCUAGAGAAAGGACUUAGUCGUGGAGCCAUCGCUACGGGUUAGCUUAAAGGGGUUAAAGCGGACAAGGGACGCAAGAGAGUUUUAUACUAGUUCGGCCCCUUACGAUGAAGGUAAAAGCCUGCGUCUAGUUGUGAUGGAAUUGAUGGGUUUUCGAUGACCAGGGAGCGAAUACGCUUUGCCUGAGUCUGGAGUUGUUGUCUGUUGUCCCUGAACCGCCCCCGGGUCGUCCCCUUAUAUACAUGGGUUGACGCCCGUCGGUUUACAGAAUCCCGAGGCCGGCUCAUAAUCGUGUCCGGCUCAGUCUCUGCUACUUCUACCUUACAAUACAAGUUUACAUAUCAAUGCCGGUUUAUGUCUACGGGCCUUAAACCGGCUUUGGGCCCUGGGCCUCCAUAAAGCGUCACCGUCUGUCUUCAUGGGCUUCAGAUACAGAUGACCUACUUAUGGGGUUAACCCGGCCUCUCCUGGCCGGUUUACGCCUAGUGGUAAUAUCCCCAACAAGAGUGCUCUUGUGGUAAUUGAUCUUAAGUCCCGUGAAAUCACUGAAAGCCUGUAGAACUCGUUUGAUAACCCGUGCUUGUUGGAUGUCCCCUUCCAUCAUGAUCAACGUGUCGUCCGCAUACUGCAGGAUCGGGAAGGGGCCGUCGGCUCCAAGUGGGUGUUUAAGGUUCCCUGCUUGGUGCUCCCUUUUGCAGAGCUAUUGCAAAACAUCAGCUGCCAGGAUGAAGAGGUAGGGAGAGAGGGCAUCCCCCUGCCUUAAACCACUUCUUGAUACAAUCCUCUCCCCAAAAGAUCCAUUGAUUAUUAUCCUGGACGAACUAGUUGAUAGGAUAUCAUGUAUCCAUUUGACCCAUCUGCUUCCAAAAGCUCUGGCUGCAAGGAUGAGCUUUAGAGCAUCCCAGCUGACACUGUCAAACGCUUUCUGGAAAUCUAACUUGAGUACUAGCAUUGGCCUUUUCCUCUUCUCGGCCUGCUGAACCAGUUCGGCUGACAGUGCAAAAUUUUCAACUAUGUAUCUUCCAGGCAGAAAACCAGACUGUAGCGGGUGUAUGAGGCUCGGGAUGAAACUUUGCAGUCAGACAGCUAGAACCUUUGUUGCAAGCUUGGGUAUACUAUGAACCAAAGCGAUGGGCCUAAAAUUCCUAAUAUCCGUUGGGUUCUCUUUCUUCGGGAGCAACACAAUAUUGGCAGUGUUGAUGCCGCUCAGAUCACUGCCAUGGUCAUAGAAAGCUUGAAAAAACAUCAUUAAGUCCUCCUUUAGUAGCCCAAUGAAGCUCUUGUACAACUCAGUAGUGAAGCCAUCAGGCCCCGGGCUCUUAUUACUCGGAGCUUUCUGAAUAACUGCUGCAAUUUCGGCCCAGGUGAAAGGCACUUCCAACGCGCUUAGGUCAGCCAAGUCGUAUAAGUUCCUGGGGUCCAAAGUUGGCAUUGACAGAGAUUGCUUGCCGAAGAUAUCGGUGAAGAACUGAGUGGCAAUUUGAAGCUUGUCCUGAUCCCUGUAAAACUCUAUGCCAUCUUUAACCAGUAGUUUAAUUUUGUUUUUCCUGUGUUGACAGUUGGCGGCUGCGUGGAAAAACUUAGUGUUCUCAUCUCCCAGGGUGUAGCCUCUUAUUUUGGCUCUUCCCCUCCAAAAACUGGACUGCCGUAGAAUUAUUUGCUGUGUUUUUGAGUUGGCAUGGUUCCUGAGAGAGGCCUCCAGCCUAGAUAAAUGUCUUCUCUCCUCCAUGGAGUCAAGGUACUGAACAACGUGAUGGCAGUUGGCUAGAGUGUCUUGCAUGGGUGAUUUCUUGCGUUCCCAAGCCCUGAUAGCAGCUCUUGUCCUUCUUAGUUUGAAAUUAAGCAGAGUAGCGGCUGACGCGAGCUGUCUGGUUCCUCUUUCCCAGCUUUGCGUUAUCAGAUUUCUAACUUCUGGAAUGUGCAACCAGUGGUUUUCAAACUGGAAGAAAGGGCUUCUCGGUGCCUCCCUUGAGAAGUCCACAACAAUGAGCGUGUGGUCUGAAGUUGUAGCAGAGAGGGCAGCAGCGGAGGUGUCGAGGAAACCUAGGUUCCAUUCUGCGUUGACAAGCACUCUGUCGAGCUUUACCAGAGUUGGCUCCAUUCUCUUGUUGGACCAUGUAAACCUUCUGUUGGCAACUUCAAUAUCGUCAAGAGCAUGGUCUCUGAUCCAUGCGUUGAAUCUGUCCAUCAAGGCCCAAUUCUUCCUUCCUUGUGAUUUUUCGUGCUCGAAUCUGUACAUGUUGAAGUCCCCUAUGAUGAUCCAGGGCCCCGUUACAUGCUCUGCCGUGUGGCUCAUUACCUCAAAGAACUCAUCCCUCUCAGCUUCGGCGCACGGGGCAUACACAAUGGAGAGGACGAAGCUGUCGCUGUUGCUCCUGGACUGAAAACUUGCAGAAAUAGUGAAUCUGUGCUUUAAAAUUUCCGAGCCUGAGACGACACUGUCAUCCCAAGCCAAGAGCAGGCCUCCAGCUGUUCCAUUGGCCGGCAUGUAUAAGAAGGAUCUUUGAGUUGUGGGGAGGAAGGAGGCUGCCUUGAUCGUGUCCACGACCUGCAAUUUAGUCUCCUGCAGGCAAACAACACUCGGGCGACUAGCAAGUAGUGCAUAUUUGACCAGAGAGCAUUUGUCAGAGUCGCCAAGCCCUCUAACAUUCCAAUUAGCAAUCCGCAUGAAGGAAAAAAGAACACUUGACUAAAAGAGAAAUAACCAUGGUAGUGAGAGAGACCAGAUGAAAGAUUUGACUGAAAUAGGUGAAGUGCUGCUCAGAAGAGCUUACAUAGCUUAGAAUGCAAACGACAGUGGAAGGGAGACAUGUAGCACAAUGCGGAGACAUGUAGCACAAUGCAGAUACAUAGCCCAACAGGACCAAACACUAGAUGGAUGAACUACGAUACAAUGCAGAUGCAGAAGUAAACAACCCUUGGGAGAGGUUCUAACUAACAUGCAGAUGCCAGAUACAACACUACUCAACAUCCUGGUAGACUUAUUCAUGAGCAGGUCCGGUUGACGCGGAGGAACCAGUGGCAGCACCUGACGCAUCAGAAGAGGACGAGCUUGCGUCCGUGCAGAUUGCUUCGAAGUUCAGGUCACAGUAGCGGGCGAGCAGCUUGGCCUUGCCCCUGGUCAGAGGCAUUGGGGUGACUUGGAGCGGCAGUUCGACGACCGAGUCCGCCUUGACGAUCUUGCUCUUCUUCCGCCCCGAGGAGCGGCGGCGGCUGCCCUCCCCUGCAGCCGGGCUGACGGAAGCCUUGCGUUUGGAGGCGCGCUCGAUGGGGUCGAUGCGGAUCCCGUCAUACAGCUGUCGAAUGCGCGGGCUCCGGCGGGGGGAGGCGGCGGGGGCGCUUGGGGCCAGAUCCGCCGUCGCCUCUGUGGCCUCCGCCGCUCCAGCGGCCUCUGCCGCUGCCGCCGUAAGCGCGACCGACAGGGGCGGCCCCGGUGUUCCUACUGGAGCUGGGUGUGUGGCGGUGGCGGCCGCGGCCGGGGGGUCCAGGAGUUGCAGGGUGGGUGGGUGGCUCUGUUGGUCGGCGGUGGUGGGUGGGAGGGAGGGAGCACGGGAGUUGCAGAAGCGAGUAGCAACUUCAAGAGGCAUAACUGCGCAGGCUCCGUGCUGCAUAUCAGUGCAUGCGAUAGGCGAGAGAAAGCCCACGGGCAACAGGCGAACUAUUCAGAUAUAUAAAAUAUCAGCAAUCGUAUUCAUGGUUCAAAAGAUACCACUCUCCAAAAAAUUCACUACACAUGUACUAGUUGGUCGGAGAGACAAGUAGGUGUGAACUACUAUUCAAAUGAGAGAAGAGGUGAUGUUGGAGGCAAAAGGUGGUCAGAAGACAUGGGCAAAAGAUGCCAGAGUAACCUACUAGAAUGAAUACAAAAGAGCACAACAAUACUAUAACCAAUACAUAACUGCAUGGUCACGACUCACGAAUCUCCAAUGGAUCAAGGGCUCCUGCACGCAUGAGACCUCCUGUGCACGGCAGAAUUCCUUUUUCUCCUGAUACUUGCUUUGUUGCCGUGCGCGCGCUCGUCGUUGCUCUCCCAAAACGGAGAGCGCCUAUUCGGCGUGUAUCCGUGUUGUGGGCCCGCUCAAUAAUUCUCCCCGCUGGAUCGAUCUCGUUCACCAGUUUCACGUUCAAUGGUUGUGGUUUUCGCUCACUUCUUGUUUUUUCACUCUCGUCUGCUGGUACUUUUUUUUGCGGGUGUCUGCUAGUACUGUUGGUCUGCAAUCUCCAAUCUCAGGGAAAAAACCACCGGUUUUUCUGUUAGUUUUCAAAACAUCGGUGAUAUCAAAUAAUAUUCAUGGGUUUUAAAAAAAAUCAGGAAUUUGAAAAUGUUUACGGAUUUGAAAAAAGUUCCCGGUAUUUGUAAAAAAAAGUUUGCAAACGAUUUUUUUAAACACGAAUUUGGAAAGCAAAAUCAUGAAAUUUUAGAUAGUUUGCGGGAUUCAAAAUAUUACACGAAUUUGAAAAAAAUCAUGGGCUCCGUAGAUUAAAAAAAAUCACGGAUUUAAAAAAAUCACAGAUUAAAAAAAUUUCAUGAAUUUGAAAAACAAAAUUGGGUUCCAAAACAGUUCACAAAUUUUAAAAAAGUUUUCUUCUUCUAUGGACUCAAAAAACCUUUACGAAUUCAGGGAAACAUUCAUAGGAUUCAAAAUACUUUAUGUAUUUCAAUAUUUUUGUGGAUUCAAAAGGGUUCAUGAAUUCCAAAAAUCUUAUAAAUUUCAAAAAUGCACGUGGAUUUAAAAAAUCAUGAACUCGAAUUUGUUUCAUGAAUUUGAGUAAGUUUUGAAUUUAAAAUUUUCACAAAUUUGGAGAAGAACGGAGAAAAAGGUAAAACAAAAAAGAGGACAAAACGAAAAAAGAAAAAUCAAACAAAACCCAUCAAGUAAAAAUUACAGAAAACCACCCAAGAAAACCAAGAAAAAAACGAACUCGUGCGAUGUGAACGAGAAAGUGUAUUACCAUGCAUGGGCCUGACCAUUACAAUAAAACCCGCUUCAUGGGGAGUGUGCGCCUUUUACCAGAAGCACUAUAACCAGCACUUAAGGCGUCAAAUAGGAACCAGCCCGAAUAAGAAGCGACAGGACAUCUCAGAACGUGCAAUGCGCACGCUUAGGAUGUGUUUGGUUACCUGCAUCAUUUUUAGGCACUUCGCAUACUUGUCCCAGUUAGGCCUGGUUGAGCUAAUGCAGGCAAAAAACCAACAUCUGCAUGAUGUUUGAUUGCCUGCAUAUAGGCUACCUACAUUAAGGGAGCAAUUUUGGCAUGGCGUUUGGUUACGUGCAUUGACUAGGCCGAUGCAAGUGCGCGGUGUUUGCUUGCAUACAGACAACAUGAUUAAGAGUUAACACCUACACAUGACACACAGAGUUACAGUGGCAGUGUGCUUGCAAUGGGGGCCUCAGUGUAGGCCGCGGGCGAGGAGGUCGACCGGGCGUUGUCAGCGGCGGCAGCGGGCACAACAUGACGUUCAUCCGGCAAGGUUGACGAUGAUUAGUGAGAAUAGAGUUCCUCGGUGAAUGCAGUGGAUGGUGGCCGCGGCUUCGCGUCCGGCGCGACGAGCAUGGAGCCGCGGGCGAGCGAUCUCGUCGGCAGGGAACCAGUUGCUAGCAUCGCUGCCGCGGAGACGGUCCAUGGGGAGAGACGAAUAGGAGGACGUUAGAGGCAGAGGUCAAGGAGGAGAAAUGGCGUGUGCGCGGGUCAUGAUGGUGUCAGUGUAGGAGGAAGAGGGAGGGGAGGCCGAAAAGAACGACACCAGCGACGAUGGCAGUGUUGUAGGACGAGGGAGAGGAGGCAAAAAGAAACAGUAUCGAUGAGGCAACGGCGGCGCCAAUGUUGUAGGACGAGGGAGAGGAGGCCAAAAGGAAUGACACCGCGAGAGGAAAAAUUAGAAGGGACUAGAUAAAGAAGAUUAGACAAUAUCAUUGAAAUAGACCAUACAUACAUGCCCGAACCUGAGGGUGGGCGAGAGGGGGGCUGCCUCUUGCCCCCAGGACCAAGGGGCCCCCAUCCCAAGUGAGUGCGAGCACCCCUCCCGAGCUGCCCUACUCAUAGCCAUUGGAGCAAAGCUGUUCUUCAAUCUGUACUUCGGUGUCUCCCCGAGGGGCGCCCCUAUGUCUCGCUUUAAGCGAGACACAGGGAACCUCUAGCAUCAGGAGAGCCUCAGAUGGCCGGCCCAACCAAGUGGGAGGCCACGGCCUAUUUUUUGUUGUUGUUUUGUUUUGUUUUUUUCUAUUAUCAUGUUUUGCUUUAUUUUUGUAAUUUUCUUUAUACUUUAUAAUAUUCUACAUAUAUAUGUAUAUAUUACAAAAAACACACUUCAAAAAUACAUUUGAAAAAUGUUGAACAGGUAUUAAAAAAAUGUUGAAUCAGAAUUUGUAACAUGGUGAACAAGUAUUUGAAAAUGUUGAAUAAGGAAAAAUGUCGAGCAAGUAUUUGAUUUUUUUAAUAAUUAUUAGAAAAUAUUGAACGAGUAUAUAAAAAAUCUUGAACAAGUAUUUGAAAAUGUUGAAUAAGUAUUAAAAUGUUUUAAAAAGUAUGUGAAAAAUUGUUGAACAAGUAUUUAAAAAAGUUGAAUAAGUAUCAAAAUGUUGAGCAAGUAUUUGAAAAAUACUCCCUUCGUUUCUUUAUAUAAGGUGUAUUUAUUUUUGAUAAAAUUUCAUAAUGCAAGGUGCAUUUCUUCUAAUUCCUCAUAAUUUCCUUGUUAGCCCUGCAGAAAAAGAGAAAGUAUCUCUCUCGUGGUUGUCUGUAUCUCUUCUUCUAGAAAAAGAAGAAAAGUAUCUCUGUGUCGAUUGCAUGUAUCUUUUACUUUCCUGGACGAACCGAUUUACUUGCCACUAACCAGCAAAUUUGCCAAGGAUAGUUUUAUCUCAACAUGUCUAUAAUUCUGUGCCUUGGUCACCGUGCCUAAAAUAAUACACCUUACAUAAAGGAACGGAGGAUAUUGAAUAAGCGCUCGGACAAUGUUGAACGUGUAUACAAAAAUUUUUGAUCACUUAUUUUUUUUGACAUAUACAAAAAUGUAGACUGAAAAUGAAAACAACCUAAGAAAAAAUAAAAUAAAAAUAAAAAAUAGAGAAGAAAAAGAAAACCAAACAAAAAAUGAAGAAGAAAAACGAAUGAAGGCAAUAAAAACAAAUGAAAAUUAAAAAGAUCCAAAUAAACCAAUGCAAAAAGAAUGAAAACAGAUAAAUAAAUAUAGAAAAACAAAAAAAACCGAUGAAAGUGUGAAAGAAAGAAACAAAAACCUAAGAAAGCAAAGAAAAAAAGAAAAAAGCCAGUGAAAAUAGAGAAAGAAACAAAGAAAACCGAAGAAAAACAGAGAAAAACAAAAAAGUAGAAACAGAGAAAUAAACAAAGAAAACCCAAAAAAACAAAAACAAAAAAAACACAGAAAAAAUAGUAGAAAACCCGACGUCCAUACGUCAAAUAUAACACACCUUCUUACUUUGCACGAACAGGCUCGUGGCUGAGUGGCUAGCAGCUAUACCCAGGAGACCUGGGUUUGAUAUCUGGUACUCCCUUUUUGCGCGGGAGCUAAUGGGCCGACACGUUACCAUCUUGCUUCAGGCGAGUGCUUCGUUUCAUCUCGAACAGUCUUUUUUUUAAGACAAUCUCACCAAGCUUUAUGCAGAAUCCAACAUGUUUACAUGUAAAAGGUGAAACUCUCCCGGUUGGCCCAACCAAACAUGGCGUCCAAACCCGAGGUUUAAAGCAUACUCAGCGAGAUUGUGAGCCUCGAAAUUCAAGCUCCUAAACUCAUGAACUAUGUUACAAGAAUUGAAAAGGCUAGAACGACCCAUAAUUUCAUGUACAAUAGCUCCGUACUCCGACAUCGUAUUCUUCCCAAUAUCAUUAACUACUGUCCUGCAAUCUGAUGCUAUAUGAAUUCUGUUGACAUAUAAGUCCUCAGCCAGGGCUUGCCCUUCUCUGAUCGCCAGUGCCUCCAAAGUAGCUGCCGCUGUAAUGCCCUUGACUUUGAUAACUGAAGAUUCCAGAAACUUCCCUUCCCGAUCACGGCACACAGCUGCCGUCGUACCAUAAGAUCCCUCUGUCACAACGGCCGCAUCCGUAUUUAUUUUCACAAAGCCCUCUGGUGGUCUCAGCCGCCGGUCGCGCCUCGAUCUUCCUCGUCUGCUUUGUUGUAUCCUUUUCCAGAACCUGAAUAUCUCUGAGAAAAGCAUUGACAAAAGAAUACGUCGUGAACGGGCUUUCAAAAAUAUCUUCAUGUACUGCUCUUCUCUGGGCUCGCCAUAUCGCCCACAAGGUUACCACCACCCGGGUGAAUUCCUCGUGCGAUAACGCUUCAUGGAUUGUGAACAUCCAAUUCUUCGCAUUCAUAGACAGAUUAUCUACCAUAAUUUGCACUCCUUCUUCUGAACUUAGAGACCAUAUACUUCUUGCCAUGACGCAGUCUAUCAGUGCAUGCUUGCAGCUAUCCUCAGCUGCGCAGAAAGCAUAGAUCUUUGUGCUAGACAUAUUCCGGUGAUGUAAUAGAUCUCUUGUAGGAAUAGUUUCAUGGAACAGUCUCCAAACAAACAUCUUUAUUUUUGAUGGGAUUUUCAUAUUCCACAACGAGGUCCACGCCUUUUCCUCCUCUAUGUUCUUUGAAUGGCCACCUACAGAUUGUAAUAGCUCUUCAUUGUUUCUUUUCACACCUGCUAGGAAAAAGUACACAGAUCUAACUAAGAAAAAGCGUCUUUUAUCUUCUCCCCAAGCCCAAAAAUCAUCCACUCUCCUUGUACAAAGUGGAAUGCCCAGAAUAAUAUCCGCAUCUACUGGGAGAAACACCGAUCGGACCAUAUCUUCCUUCCAAGAAGCCGAAGUGCUAUAAAUCAACUCUGAGACCCAUGUUGGUUUGUCAGCCACUAGAGACACCAUCGGCUUCAUCAUACCAGGCCGUGGUAGCCAAUUAUCCUCCCAAACUCUUAUUGAUUCUCCUGUCCCAAUUCUCAAUCCUGGAGCAAGAGCUCCUCUUCCGUCGAUGAUGGCCCUCCAAAUCCGUGAAGGGUUGUUACCCAGCUCGGCCUCCAAAAAAGAACCAGCUGGAAAGUAUUUUGCCUUCAGAACUCUUGCACUUAAAGACAACGGCUCCUGGAUGAUCCUCCAUGCUUGUCUUGCCAACAGUGAUAAGUUGAAAAUUUCUAUAUCUCAAAAACCAAGCCCUCCCAAAUACUUCGGCCUCAUGCAAACGUCCCAUGAAAUCCAACUGGGCUUUCUCUUGCCCUUUUUGCCCCCGCACCAAAACUGUCGUAUCAUAGAUGUAAUACUCUCGCAAAUUCCUCUGGGCAGUCUAAAACAUGACAUGGAAUAAACCGGAAUGGCUUGGGCAAUUGCCUUGAUUAAUACCUCCCUUCCUGCAUAAGACAGUAACUUCUCCAUCCAUCCCUUGAUCUUCUCCCAUACUCUGUCCCUUAAAUAUUUGAAAGUACCAUUCUUCGAGUGACCUACGUCAGUCGGCAUGCCCAAAUAUCUACCAGUUAAUUGCUCGUCAUGAACAUUGAGAGAGUUUUUGAUGCUCUCCCGGAUCACUUGCGGGCAACCUUUACUGAAAAAAUGAAAGAUUUGUCAUUGUUCACUCUUUGUGCCGAAGCAUUACAAUAUGUAUCUAACAGGUUUGACACCACACUUUCCCCCUCGGUACUAGCCUUGAAAAGCAGCAGGCUAUCAUCAGCAAAGAGCAAAUGGUUGACAACUGGGGCUGUCGGCGCCACUUGAACUCCCACAAACGAUGACGACUGAGGAACGGAUUUCAAUAGGCACGAAAGGCCCUCUGCUGCUAACAAGAAAAGAUAAGGGGAAAUGGGAUCUCCCUGUCGAAUACCUCUCGUAGGUCGGAACUCCUGCAACUGUUCUCCAUUAAAAAGGACUAAAAAAGAAACUGAGGUGAUCAUCUUCAUCACUAUAAGUACCCAUUGUGUAUCAAAUCCCAGCUUUACCAUCAUUGCUUUGAGAUAGUCCCACUCAAGCCUGUCAUAGGCCUUCAUCGUAUCAAGUUUCAAAGCACAACUGAUAUUUCCCUUCGGCUUACUCCUUUUCAUAAAGUGCAGACACUCAUAAGCCGUAAUGAUAUUAUCUGUUAUAAGUCUACCUGGGACAAAGGCAGAUUGUUCUUCUGAGAUAAUAUCUGGUAAAAUUUGCUUCAGCCUGUUUGCAAUCACCUUCGAAGCAAUUUUGUACAAGACGUUGCACAAGCUUAUUGGUCUGAACUGAGAUAACAAGGAAGGGUUCAAUACCUUCGGGAUUAAUACCAAAAAAGUAUCAUUGAUGCAAUCUGGGCUCUCUUCUCCUCUGACUAUGCGGAGCACUGCCUUCGUCACCUCCUCACCACAAACAUCCCAAUGUCUUUUGAUAAAAAUGCCGUGGAAAACAGUCGAUGCUUCGCAAAGGGAGUAGCUGACCCGGGCUGCCCCAUUUAGGUAACACGCUGUGAAAAUCAACAACAAGAAACCGCGCAGCUAGCCAGUGCGACAAGCUAACUCUACUGGAAAAUUAGCAACGUCAUAUUUAAAGAAGCGAACUGCUACGCCAAAAUUUAAAAAAUAGCCCGCAAAAUAUUCCCAAAAACAUACAUGUGGGGGCUUGAGCACACGACCUCAACUAAGUGAACCAUGUCGCUAGCCACUAUGUUCAUUUACUUGCUUGUCUAAAAAUGCUAGCUCACUAUACGUGGCAAGAGAAAGUAAAGUUUUUUGAAAUUUCAAACGUGGAUUAUUUUUAUCAAAAGUAAAUAUAAUUAGGAAGCCGAACAUUUUCAAAAUUUGCUAACAAACUUUUAAAGACUCGAACAUUUUUAUGAGAAUCUGAAACAUUUUUUGUAAAAGAAGGAACAAAAUUGAAAGCAAGAACUUUUUUCAAAAUUACGAACAACUUUUUCAAAAUGCAAUCAUUUUCUACAAACAGAAACAAAAUUGGAAAAAAUGCUAACAUUUUCUGAAAUUAAUAAUAUUUUUUGAAACACGAAUAUUUUAUGAAAUUCUCGCAAACAUUUUUCUCAAUUUUUGAACAAAUCAUGAAAACGUGCACUUUUUGAGAUUGUGAAUAAAUUUUGAAAACAGAAAAAACAAGUGUAAAAAUGCGAACAUUUUUAUAAAAAAUGAACAAUGUUUUCAAAACACUAACAUUUUGUGAAAUUUCCCUAACAUUUUCUGAAUUUUCGAACAAAUUUUGGAAACAUGAACAUUUCCUGAAUUUUUGAAAACAGAAAUAUUUUUUGAAAUCCAUAAACAUUUUUAAAUUUUGAACAAAAUUAAGAAAUGCGAACAUUUUCAGAAAUUUUAAAAUUUUAUGAAUUUAUUUGCAUUUUUGGAAAUGAAUGAACAAAUUUUAAAAUACUAAAACAUUUUUUAAAUUUCUGAACAAAUUUUGAAAACAGGAACAAAAUCUGGAAAAGUGAACAAAUUUUAAGAAAUACACACAUUUUAAAUUGCACAAAAUUUGUUGAGAAAAGAAAUUAACUUGGAAAGGAAAGAUGAAAGAAAAGAAAAGAAACGAAAAAAGAAACAGAAACAAGAAAAUUACAGAAAAAGAAAAGGCAGAAAAAAUAAAAGAAGAAAUGGAAAAUGGUUCAGGAACCUUCCAGAAGGUACCCAAAACCGGCUGGGAAACCUAGAGGGUUCCCAAAACCAAACAUGAAAGUUGUACGUACGCUACAGAUGGGCCGCAGAAGUCGCUCGCUGGGUCGCCUCGCCUGUGGGAUUCGCCGAUAGUUUGACGCAAAGUGCGUCGAAUAGGGUUUUCUGCUAUAUAGCUCUCACGCUCCACGAGGAAGAAGGACAGAACGUUAUCUAUUUUAGUGAACUAGGCCUUGGGCCAUUUUUUCUUUAGCAAAACAAUAGAACGUGGAUGGUUUGUAUGUGUGGGCACAGAUCCAUGGGAUCCCGGACUUGUACCGUGAGAUUGGGAUUGUAGACCAGCUUGCUCGCCGCAUUGGCCGAGUUAAGGAGGUUCGGCUUUCGCCAAGGCUGUUCUAUGAAGGGGAUUAUGUCAGAGUUCGUGCUCAGAUACUUGUGGCAAAACCUUUGACAAGGGUCACACCACUAACAGUCACCGGAGAGGAGCGACGUAUGCUACCCGUCAAGUAUGAAAAGAUACCUUAUUUCUGCCAGGUGUGUGGAUUGAUGGGACAUAACCAUGAGGAAUGCGGUGGUGGUAUCUGGGAGGCAAAGCAUAAGCAGUGGGGCAGUUGGAUGUUAGCCAAAAGGAAGGAAGCAGUACCUGAGACUCAAGGUGGAGGCCGUGCAGCUCGGGGUGGCCGAACUGGCGGGCGGGGCAGAGCGGGGAGGGCUGGCCGUGGUGAUCCACCCCCACGCCAGAGAUCACCCCCUCGCAAGAGAUCAUCACAGGAUGCCGGUCUGCACACAGGAGAAGAGGGGGAUGAGGAGGUGAUGAGUCCAUUAAAACAGCCUGAACCGGGGGCAAGCAAACCAACAGAAUUGGUCAGCUCUGAAAAGGACGUGGAGGAACCAUCUGCACGAAAGAACCUGAGCUUGGCGUUCUCUGCUACUUGCGUCACCGAACCUGGCCAGGAGAAUAGUGCCAUGCCGCCGCUUCCACCGGCGUACGUCUCACCCAGGGAGAUCAAGAAGGCAAAGAAGGAUGCUUCCCCGAAGAAAAGCAACAAUUUGGCAUUAUUGGCGGGCUCCAACGGGGAGCGCCGCCGGGCCCAAUGAAAAUCCUUAGCUGGAACUGCCGUGGAAUUGGCGAUCCCGCGACAGUCAGAGAACUCCGUGAUCACGUGGGGAUUAGUUCGCCGAUGAUUCUCUGUCAAGUUGAAACCCAACUGCAGAAGAGUCGUGUUGAAGGUCUUCGUUUUUUCCUUGGUUUUGAUUUUAGUUUUCGAGUCGGUAGUAGUGGCCGUAGUGGCGGCAUUUGUAAUUUUUUGGAAAAACUCUGUUGAUGUGAUAAUAAAGAAUUUUUCUUAGUAUCAUGUGGAUGCAUGGGUUGUGGAGCCAGGUAAAGAACAAUGGCGCUUAUCAUGUUUUUAUGGCGAAGCAAAUAGAAGCCUCUGUCGGUGUCAAAACCCGCAUAUCUCGGGUAGGGGGUCCCGAACUGUGCAUCUAAGGAUCGAAGGUAACAGGAGACAGGGACACGAUAUUUACUCAGGUUCGGGCCCUCUUGAUGGAGGUAAUACCCUACUUCCUACUUAAUUAUCUUCGAUGAAUAUGGGGUUUACAAGAGUCGAUCUACCUCGAGAUCGUAAUGGCUAAACCCUAGAUGUCUAGCCUGUAUGAUUAUGAUUGCCUCUAUGGACUAAACCCUCUGGUUUAUAUAGACACCGGAGGGGCCUAGGAUUGUACAAAGUCGUUUUACAGAGAAAGGAAUCUUCACAUCUGAACGCCAAGCUUGCCUUCCACGCAAAGGGGAGUCCCAUCCGGACACGGGAGGAAAUCUUCUGUCUUGUAUCUUCACGGCCCAUUAGUCCGGCCCACAUCACAUAGCCCGGACGCCCGAGGACCCCUUAAUCCAGGACUCCCUCAGUAGCCCGCGAACCAGGCUUCAAUGAUGAUGUGUCCGGCGCGCAGAUUGUCUUCGACAUUGCAAGGCGGGUUCCUCCUCCGAAUACUUCAAAGCAUCUGACCCGAAGAGUUGUACUCGGCUUUUCAUUUAAUGUCAUACCCUUUGGCUUCUGCGCCUCCAUUGCUUCUGCUUCCACGUGUCGAGCGAAUACCAAAGGUGAGAGUAUUUUUUGCACAUAACACCCUGGCCAUGUAAGAAAGGCGUCUAUUUAAAGAGAUUGGAUCUCAAAUGCCAUUCCACACCAGGUGGAAAAUCCUUAGAGCUUGCUAGGAGAAAACAUUCAAACAUGGCUAGCGCUCCCAGUUCUUCCUUCCGCCCUCAUGGCUCCAAAAAAGGCGAUUGGGAGAGAUGUUCAGUAUCCCAUGACCAGCUGGUUAAGCUUCAAACGCAGGGAUUCCUUCCCCCCGCGGAUCUAGUCCCCGUCGGGCAGGAUUAACCUCUUUCACCAGCGAAACCCUGGCGGAAAAUUUCCCCAAUCCAACCAGGGGGGAGCGAGUGUGCUUCGUCUUCUUCUUAUUAAGAGGCGUCGGAUUUCCAAUCCACCCUUUCCUCCGAGGUCUCCUGGAGUACUACGGCCUCCAACUGCACAAUCUUACGCCGGCCUCUAUCCUGCACAUCGCGGGCUUUGUCGCUCUUUGCGAGCUAUUCCUGGGCUGCGAGGCCCAUUUUGAGUUAUGGAGGAAGCUUUUCUGCCUCGCCCCUCACACCCAAAAGGGAUCUGUAUUCGAGGUGGGUGGCGCCAAGGUAUGGUGCAUAGCCGGGACCGGAUACCUGUCCGGCACGUCGAAGAAGGCGUCCGAAGAGUGGCCCUCAGAGUGGUUCUAUAUUGAAGAUGCCGCUCUCCCCGACCCAGUCUGAAUGGGCCUUCCCGAAUAUUCCAGCGCUCCAUUAAGGAAACGCCACAGCUGGCGUCCCCGGAGCCUCGAGGAGGAAGAUAGCGCAGAAGUCCAACAAUUAAUGGGCAAGAUAAGGACACUUGCCCAGUUCAGAUUAUCAAUAAUCGAGGUAAUGGCGACUUCCAUAGUGCGAGGUGUUCAGCCACUCCAAUUCAGAGGGCUCCCUAUGUGGCACUACAAUGGGGAAGAUGACGCCUCAUGCUGCGGACAAAAGGGUCCGGACACCCCCGCCGCUCUGGCCACAAUAUUGGCCGAUCUGUAUAAAGGGGAGAAAGAGGAGUUCACUCGUCUUAAGCGGCGAGAGGGAUUUUCCAUGUAUAAUCCCCCUAACUGGGUGAGUUUUAAUCCCGCCACCUUACUCAAUCCUCUCCUGAGUCAUGUUUAAUUGGCAUUAACCCGUCCACUUUUAAUAGGAAUGUCGGAAGGUUAUCGCGGGGAUCCAUAGCCCUGCUCCACAGCCGGAGGACCAUAACCGGGACCUCGAUCCCGGAUUCGAAGAGGAUCCGGACAUAUUUGUAGAGCUCAAGGAGGGAGUCUUCUACCAGGCGAGCUAUGAUGGCACGGAAGUGGCCAUCAUGGCCAAUUACCCCGGCCUCCUACCUGCCUCACAUGUAAGUAAUCCAGAGACAUCUCCUCCGAAAGAGCUUCCUCAUCAUGCCUCACCCACCGCACUGUCUUGUGCUCCAAAGGGGAGGCGCUCGGCGUGCCUUGUUGCACCAGAGGCGUCUCGUAAGAGAGCGGUGCCUGCGUCGGGCGGGUCUUCGAAGAGGAAGGCAAAUGACAGCACGGCCGAUCCUUCAUCAAAGAGGUAUGACUUUAAAUAUGCCCCAUGGCAGUCACAUCGAACCGUGACAUUGUCCGCUGUGUUUUACCAGGAAGAGCGUUCGCCGAACUAUUUCUGGGGAUCCUGGCAGUCGCGCCUCCACCAGUCAGAUUCCAGACCCUGCCUCUAGCGCGGGGGUUGACAUGGGAGUGACGCCGGAUUGUCUUCCUUAGAGGAUUCGGAUAAUGUAUCCGUCACGAACUCUGAAGUACAGAGCGCCAUGAGUCAUCGGCGCCGGAGGGCCGCCCUUCGUGACCCUAGCUUUACUAAAGAGGCGUUCAAUUCCUACAACUCGGCUGAUGCGUACAUCCGAGCUGCUCGGGAUGGGCUUGCCAGAGCCACUGACCAGCAUUUGAAAGAUAUGCAGGUAAGUACGCAUUGUAUAGAUCAGGUAAUCAUAUACCAGUAGCCCACGAGACUUGAAGCGGUUGAAACAACUGAUUUAAGGAUCAUUGUAUAAUCAGGCACUCACGGAGAAGAACAAAAUGCUGUCUCAUGAGCUGGAAAAGUGUCGGACCCAGCUAGCUGUUGUUACCGCCGAACUGGAGAAAUCCAAGGAGGUACCGCCUUGUAAUGUUCUUCUCCAUCCCGAAAAAUAUAAUCAAAUACCAGUAAUGUUAAUACUGUUGUAUUUCCCAUGGCAGGAUCGUUAGAUCAAUUGAAAAAGGAACUGAAGGUCGCGCAGGCGGGUAAACAUCAGGCCGAAAAGCAACUGGCCGCUGGCGAACGUGUGUUGACACGGACCAGGGAUGGUAAGAACAAGCUGCAGGAUUCCAACACCCAGCUGGGCGAAGAGCUAAAAGACGUGCGAGCCCAGCUAGCGGACACUGUAAAAGAGAACAGGAGGCUACGGGGCGGCAUAUUCAGUAUGCUUUUGAACUUACCUCCGUGUAGUGCGGUAAAAAAUGAGUUAACAGAUUUAUGUCUGCAGGUAUGCCGACUGGCCGGCCCGAAGAGGAAAUGUCCGGAGCUCAAGGCGAUCUGUUGCAAGAGCUGUCACAAGUGCACGGUCGAGCUCGAAAAGCGAUGCGGAGUGUUGCCAAUGCUUUAUGGCCAUCCGCAUCCCCCCAAGGAAGUAUGGAGGAGUUUGUGAAGCUAUUCAAGGGAGCUCGGCGCCGCUUUAGAUUAUGGAAGAUAUCGGCUUGCCAGGAAGGCGCACGAGAGGCCUGGGCCAUGGUGAAAACGCGGUACACCGGACUUGAUCCGAAUCAUAUGGCCCGGGUCGGACCUCGGGGGUCAGAUGGACAAGAGAUUCCAGUAAGUUUGGUAUAUGACCAAGUAAAGAUAGCCGCCAAGUUUUCACAACAGGAUUGUAAGCUAGAUAGCCUGUUAGACGGUAUAGAGGAAGAAGCUUUUGAGUCCAAGUGACUAUGUACUUCAAUUGACAAAUUUGUCCCUAGCCGAAUUGUAAAACGAUUGUCAUGGCAGACCUUUUCCCUUCGACCUCCAGACCCGAAGGUGUGGAGUGUUUCCGAAUACCGGACCGGCGAUAAAUACCGGGGCAUGUGUGGAAACCAGGCAUAGGGGUCAUAGUUGCUUGAACAGACAAGUUGUAUCCGGCUAACUAUGUUAUAUUACUUAUUGAUUGUAAGAAACAUCUUACAGAGAGAAUAGUUCCGUUAAGGGUUCCUUUCCCUAGGUGAACAUGCGUUAGUAUGCAUGCCCAAACUGUGAUUCAAAAAAUCGCAGUAUAUGUAAUAUCUGGGGAUUCAUAGCGCAACGAGUAUAAAACGUCUUUAAUCCGCCGACCGAUUAUUCCCUUAAGAACGCUAACUUUCGGCUUCACCCAGUCUGAGGUACAAGUCCGGAUGACCAGGCUGUAACAAUCACAGAGGUGCUCCCUUUAUGCCCUAGCCGAACAAACGGGAAUGUAGGGCAUAAGCACAGGAGCCAGGCAACCCAGCUUGGCAAAAACUUAAGUCAUAAAGGUGCAUAUAAUGGCGAAGAAAAGGUAUAUAUUAGAAAAGGACACAUAUGUGGUGAGCUUGAUGCUCGGAAAAUGAUAAUAAGCUUCUGUAAAAGAAGCCCCCAGGUAUUACGGGCGUAUACAUUUAAGGAUGUGUACCUCAUAAGUGUGCGGUCUAGCCGCACAAGAGCUAUAAAGCUAAAGAAAAAAUUUAAAGAGAGAAGAAAUGGAAAAAGGAGAAAAAGAAAACGAACAAUGAGUCCGGCUCUAGGCGUAGAAUCUUCGGAGUCUGGCGGUAUUCCACGGGUUCAGCUCUAAGCGAUUAUCCGAUGCAUCACGCAGACGGUACACACCUCCAGUGAGAACUUCAUCUAUAAUGAAGGGACCUUCCCACUUGGGCUUGAGUUUGUCCUUUUUCUUUUCUGGCAAGCGUAGAACGAGUUCACCAACAUUAUAAGUCUUGGCCCACACUUCUCUGCUUUGGUAUCUACGAGCUUGUUGUUGAUAUAAUGUGGAACGGGCUUUUGCAACAUCGCGCUCCUCCUCCAGGGUAUCUAGAAUAUCCUGGCGAUCCAGCUUGGCUUCUCUCUCUUCGUACAUGCGCACUCGAGGUGAGUCAUGAAUUAUGUCGCAGGGCAAAAUAGCCUCCACGCCGUACACCAUGAAGAAUGGUGUGUAACCGGUAGUGCGAUUGGGCGUAGUCCGCAGCCCCCAGAGUACGGAGUCGAGCUCCUCGACCCAGUGUUUGUUUGACUCUUUUAAGGAUUGUACUAGUCUAGGCUUAAUGCCGCUCAUGAUAAGACCAUUAGCUCAUUCGACUUGACCGUUUGUUUGGGGGUGAUAGAUGGAGGCAUAAUCGAGCUUGAUGCCAAGGUUAGCACACCAGGUUUGCACUUCGUCGGCUAUAAAGUUGGAGCCGUUAUCGGUGAUGAUGCUGUGUGGGACACCAUAGCGGUGUACGACACCGGAUAUAAAGUCUAUCACUUGUCCGGCUUCGGCCGUUUUAACUGGUUUGGCCUCGAUCCACUUAGUGAAUUUAUCUACCAUGACCAGCAGAUAUUUUUUCUUAUGGCUUCCCCCUUUAAGGGGUCCGACCAUAUCAAGCCCCCAGACCGCGAAAGGCCAAGUAAUGGGGAUUGUUAUUAGGGCGGUAGGCGGCAUAUGGCUUUGAUUGGCGAAAAUCUGGCAUCCCACACAAUGUUGGAGAAGGUCCUGUGCAUCUGCUCGGGCCGUCAGCUAGAAGAAACCGGUACGGAAGGCUUUGCUUACAAGAGCCCGAGCCGUGGCGCGGUGACCGCCAAGACCAGCAUGGAUUUCGGCUAGGAGCUGCCGGCCUUCUUCUUCGGAAAUACAUCUUUGAAGUAUUCCGGUAGCGCUCUUCUCGUAGAGCUCUCCUUCAUGAACCUUGUAGGCUUUCGAACGUCGAACGAUGCAUCGAGCCUCAUUCUGAUCCUCGGGGAGCUCUCGCCCAUUAAGGUAGGCCAAGAAGGGUUCGGUCCAUGGAGCAAUUACUACCAUUAUUAGAUGGGCCGAUGGUGUUAUUUCGGUGGCUGAGCCCCCGAUGAUAUCGGUGUUGUGUUCGGAAUCUGGGUGUAUAAUCGGAUCCGGACUAGUGUUGCCGCUCUCAUCCUGCCACACCACGGAGGGCUUGACGAGCCUUUCCAAAAAUAUGUUAUGCGGGACGGGGUCACGCUUGGCGCCCAUGCGAGCAAGGACAUCUGCCGCUUGAUUACUUUCUCGAGCCACAUGAUGAAACUCGAGUCCCUCAAACCGAGCUGAUAUUUUGAGUACGGUGUUACGAUAGGCCGCCAUCUUCGGAUCAUUGGCGUCGAAGUCUCCGUUUAUUUGGGAUAUUGUGAGGUUUGAAUCCCCGCGCACCUCCAGGCGUUGUAUGCCCAUGGAGACAACCAUCCGAAGACCAUGCAAUAAGGCCUCGUAUUCGGCUGCGUUAUUGGAGUCUGUGUAUAAUAUUUGGAGUAUGUACUGGACUGUGUCUCCUGUGGGGGACGUUAAGUCAAUGCCCGCUCCUAAACCGGCCAGCAUUUUAGAGCCAUCGAAGUGCAUGACCCAGUUGGAAUAUGUACCAUACUCUUUAGGGAGUUCGGCCUCUGUCCAUUCGGCGCGAAGUCGGCCAAUACUUGGGAUUUAAUGGCUCGGCGUGGUUUGUAUGUUAUAUCGAAUGGCAAGAGCUCAAUGGCCCACUUGGCAAUCCGGCCUGUACCAUCGCGGUUGUUUAAUAUGUCAUUGAGUGGUACUUCGGAAGCCACCGUGAUCGAGCACUCUUGGAAGUAGUGCCAUAGCUUUCGGGAUGCCAUGAAAACCGCGUAUGCUAUCUUUUGGUAAUGAGGGUACCGGGAUUGCACGGUGUGAGGACGGUGGAUACAUAGUAUACCGGUUUCUGAAAUGGAAAUUUAUGUCCAUCCUCCUCUCGUUCAACGACGAGCACCGCACUCACCACCUGGCGUGUUGCAGAGAUGUAUAAUAACAUGGGUUCGCCGACGUUCGGCGCGGCCAGGAUUGGGUUGCUUGCUAAAAAAGCUUUUAUUUCUUCCAGUCUGGCCGUUGCCGCGUCCGUCCACUCGAAGUGGUCGGUGCGUCGGAGCAGGCGAUACAGUGGCAAUGCCUUUUCUCCUAACCUGAAGAUAAAGCGGCUUAAAGCUGCCACGCAUCCGGCUAGUUUUUGGACCUGUUGUCUGUUGGUGUAGCCAAUUGUGACAAAGCUCGGAUUUUUGCUGGGUUUGCCUCAAUUCCUCUAUUGGAAACGAUGAAGCCCAGCAGUUUUCCGGCGGGGUCGCCGAAGACACACUUUUCCGGAUUGAGCUUGAUGUGAUAUGUACGGAGGUUAUCGAAUGUGAGACGCAGAUCGUAUACUAGUGACCCGACGUGCCUAGUUUUUAUGACGACGUCAUCCACAUAUGCUUCGACCAUCUUGCCGAUUUGUUUCUCUAGGCAUGUUUGAAUCAUGCGUUGGUAGGUGGCGCCAGCGUUUUUCAGCCCGAAGGGCAUAGUGUUGAAGCAGAAAGGGUCGUAUGGGGUAAUGAAUGCCGUUGCGGCUUGAUCAGACUCCUUCAUUUUGAUUUGAUGGUAUCCGGAGUAUGCGUCGAGGAAACACAGCGAGUCGUGUCCUGCGGUAGCAUUAAUGAUCUAAUCGAUGCGGGGGAGGGGGGAGGGAUCCUUAGGGAAGGCCUUGUUGAGGUCUUUGAAAUCGAUGCACAGGCGCCAGGGUUUAUCCUUCUUUGGUACCAUCACCAUGUUUGCUAGCCAGUCCGGGUGUUUUAUUUCUCUGAUGAACUAGGCCUCAAUAAACUUGGCUAGCUCCUCCCCCAUAGCUUGCCGUUUGGGUUCGGAAAAGCGCCGCAGUGUUUGCUUGACCGGCUUGUAUCCCUUCAAUAUAUUGAGGCUGUGUUCGGCCAAUCUGCGUGGGAUUCCUGGCAUAUCAGAAGGGUGCCAGGCGAAUAUGUCCCAGUUCUCGCGCAGGAAUGCGCGUAAUGCGGCAUCGACCGUCGGGUCCAGCUGUGCUCCGAGGGAAGCUGUCUUCUUGGGGUCUGUCGGGUGAACUUGAAAUUUGACUAUUUUGUCCGCUGGUUUGAAGGAGGUGGAUUUGGGCCGCUUAUCGAGGAUUACGUCAUCCCUAUCCACCGUGGAGCGUAGUGCGGUUAAUUCUUCAGCCGCAAGGGCCUCGGAUAGUGCUUCGAGGGCCAGGGAUGCGGUUUUGUUUUCGGCGCGGAGUGCUAUGUCCGGAUCACUGGCGAGAGUGAUAAUACCGUUGGGCCCGGGCAUCUUGAGCUUCAUAUACCCGUAGUGAGGUAUGGCUUGAAAGUGCGUGAAUGCGUCUCGCCCCAACAGGGCGUGAUAUCCACUGUUGAAAGGGGCCACCUGGAAGGUUAUCUCUUCGGACCGAUAGUUCUCCGGCGUGCCGAAUACCACGUCGAGUUUUUUUUCCCGCGCAUCUUGCUUCCCGACUGGGAAUGAUUCCUCGAAAGGUCAUAUUACUUUGCUUGAUGCGGCUCCUAUCCAUUUGCAUUUUAUUGAGCGUGUCCUCGUAGAUGAGGUUCAGCCCACUGCCGUCGUCCAUGAGCACUUAAGUGAGCCGAAAGCCAUCCACAAUUGGGUUGAGAACCAAGGCGGCUGGUGCCCGGACUGACCGGAAUUUUGGUUCGUCCUCGUCAUUAAAAGUUAUGUCCGUGUCGUUCCAGGGAUUUAUUGGUGCGACUUGGCAGACUUCGGCGAGGUCACGGAGUGCCCUCUUGCGCCGAUUGCUUGAAGCGAAAGUCUCAAAGACCGUCAAUACUCUAAGGUUGUUGUCUUCUGGAGAGUGCUGCUCUGAGGUGUUUUGGUGAGGAUAUCCUCGCCACUCUUGGCCACUUGCCGGAGUAUCCAACAUGCUCUGAGGCUGUGGGUUGGUUCGGUAUCCGGUGUCCUGUGUAUUUUGCGUGGCUUAUCGAGCCAUCCCUCAAGGACGGUUCCACGUCCCGUAAUGGGUUUAAUUUUCUUGCCUACGGGGUCGGGUGCCCCGCGAGGGUGCAUCCUCUUUGCCCGCCAGGGAGGUGGCGUGAAGGCCGGUGGUGGUUCCCAGCAAGCUGUCUGAGUUUUCCAGGCGCUUUCCAUUGCGCAGUACUUCUGUACUAUGGUUGCCAAGUCAGCUAAGUGUAGUGCGCGACGGCGGUUGAGGGUGUUGAGGAAUCCUUCGUCCGCGCAAUUAUUGUAGAAUACUGAAAUCGCGUCCUCGUCAUGGCAAUCUUUAAUCUUGUCCUUGACAAGGAGGAAUCUGGCCCAAAAGUAAUGGAUUGUUUCCUGAGGCUGCUGCCGUACAUACAUUAGGGCGCAUAUAUCCGGGUGACCGGAAUUGCUUGGCGAAUAUUGCUUGUGGUGGGUGGGUGGCGUUAAAUCCGAACCCUGACCCAAUGUGGAGUGCGGAGUUUGAAAAACUUCCGAGUUUAUUAGUUCAGGCUCCGGGGUGUCCAAUGAUUCUUUAGGCUCAACGCCCGAUUCUAAGUUCGGAGGACUGGGAGUGUCACCCUGCAGACGGGUAUCCGGCUCUCCGAGCUCGGAAAUCCGAACAUAGCUUGUUUUCAGCAUAGGGGAAGAGUUGUUGUUUUGCUCCUCUACGACCGCUAUCUGAUGGGUGACCGGCGGAGAUUUGAUUUCUCUCUGAUCGAGUUUAAGCCCAAUCCGAUCAUAGUCUAAGGCGACCCCCAGGGCGGCGAUGCGAUCCAGGAGUUCGUUUAAAGACGACAAAUCCGCCAGAUCCAUCCGUUUGGAGUAUUCAGGAUCAACACGGAGACGAUUUUCGAUGACUUGGGAAGUCAUCAUCGGCUUAAAGGCCGAACGGGCGGCCAUGGUAAAGCUGCCCAACUGGAGGGUUUGGCCUGAGGCCAGGGCUUCUCCGGAAGUGAUAUUGUCCUUGAUAACAAGGCGAGCCAUCAAUCCUGUUGGUCGACGCCACAAACGAACUCUCAAUGAAAGCACCAAUGUCGGUGUCAAAACCGGCAGAUCUCGGGUAGGGGGUCCCGAACUGUGCGUCUAAGGAUCGAAGGUAACAGGAGACAGGGACACGAUGUUUACCCAGGUUCGGGCCCUCUUGAUGGAGGUAAUACCCUACUUCCUGCUUGAUUAUCUUCGAUGAAUAUGGGGUUUACAAGAGUUGAUCUACCUCGAGAUCGUAAUGGCUAAACCCUAGAUGUCUAGCCUGUAUGAUUAUGAUUGCCUCUACGGACUAAACCCUCCGGUUUAUAGACACCGGAGGGGCCUAGGAUUGUACAGAGUCGGUUUACAGAGAAAGGAAGCUUCACAUCCGAAUGCCAAGCUUGCCUUCCACGCAAAGGGGAGUCCCAUCCAGACACGGGAGGAAAUCUUCUAUCUUGUAUCUUCACGGCCCAUUAGUCCGGCCCACGUCACAUAGCCCGGACGCCCGAGCACCCCUUAAUCCAGGACUCCCUCAGCCUCCUAUACAAGACUUGGGACAUGAUGAGAAGGUUGAGAGGGGAAAGCACCCUCCCUUGGGUUUGUAUCAGGGAUUUCAACGAAAUUCUCAGACCAGAGGAACAAAUGGGUUUCCAUGAACGGGACAGCUCUCAGAUUGAUGCGUUCCGGGAGGCAGUUGAUAUUUGUGGCCUUUCUGACUUAGGCUACGAAGGUUUGGACUGGACCUGGGAGAAGAAAGUGGCUGGUGGAAGUUUCUGCCGUGUUAGGCUGGAUCGAGCGCUAGCAACUGCGUGCUGGUCCGCUGUGUUCCCUUUUGCUAGUGUUGAGCAUCUAAAGCGGCCAAGUCUGAUCACUGCCCCAUCCUGUUAGAAACCGAUCGGGUGGAUGCAAGUGUAAGGGCGACCCAAAAACCCUUUCGGUAUGAAUGUAUGUGGGAGCGGGAUCCUUGCUUUGGUGAUGUGCUUGAAGACAUUUGAAAGGCUCCAGGCCAAGUUCAUACCGUGACAGAGCUAUCUGAGAAGUUUGCUGCUGUAGCAGACAGCUUACAUAGAUGGGGACGGGUCACUUUUGGCUCGGUCAGAUCAGAGCUACGACAGUUACGACGGCGUCUAGAGGAGCUCCGGGCGGUUGCUACUCGUAUUGCACCAACUGAGGAAGAAAAGGAAGUGGAAGCUCAUAUUGUUGAACUUUGCUACCGAGAGGAAAUAAUGUGGCGUCAGCGCGCGCAUACAGUGGCUUUCGGAGGGUGAUAGCAAUUCAAAAAAAAAUUCAUCAAAAAGCAAGUGCGCGCAGGGCAAAAAAAUCGUAUUCAAGAGCUACGGCGGGCCAAUGGAUCACUUUGUACAGAGCAACAGGAGAUGGCGGCCAUGGCAACUAGUUUCUAUGAAAACCUAUAUGCAUCAGAAAAUACUGUGGGACUAGAGGAAGUCCUCUCACAUAUACCUGUCAAGGUAGAUGGUCACAUGAACAGUAAGCCAAAUGCGCCCUAUAACAAGGAGGAGGUUAAAGCAGCAUUGUUCCAGAUGUUCCCAACCAAGGCUCCUGGGCCAGAUGGCUUCCCUACUCAUUUCUUUCAACGGCACUGGGAUCUGUGUGGUGAUGAGGUGACUGCUAUGGUGCUUCGUGUUCUCAGUGGAGUUGAUUCACCGGAGGAGAUAAAUAAAACGUUCAUCGUAUUAAUUCCCAAGAUUGCUAGUCCAAAAAACUUAGGACAGUUUCGACCGAUCAGCCUCUGCAAUGUGAUCUUCAAGGUCGCAUCUAAGGUAUUGGCUAACCGGCUCAAGCUCAUUCUCCCCGUUAUCAUCUCCGAGGAACAAUCAGCAUUUGUACCAGGCCGUCUUAUUACUGAUAACUUUCUCUCUGCUUAUGAAUGCUUACAUUACAUGAAAACAAAGAAAUUGAGGAAUAAGAGGUUCUAUGCUCUGAAGCUCGAUAUGAUGAAGGCGUAUGACAGGCUUGAGUGGGAUUAUCUUAAGGCGGUUAUGCUAAAACUGGGGAUAAGUCCACGGUUCACGGAGACGGUGAUGAGAUGUGUCACCUCCGUAUCUUUUUCUGUGAUGUUCAAUGGGGGCAAGUUGGAUGAGUUUAAACCCUCUCGAGGUAUACGACAGGGUGACCCUAUUUCGCCUUACCUGUUUCUUCUUGCAGCUGAGGGUCUAUCAUGCUUACUAAAGUCUUCUCUACCCGAUGAGAUAAUUCCUGGCAUAAAGGUAGCAGCAGAUGCACCAGCAGUCAAUCACCUUCUUUUUGCGGACGACAAUUUGUUAUUCUUUCACGCAUCUUCGGACAUGGCAAGGAGGGUGGAUUCACUUCUGCAAAAGUAUUGUGCAGCAUCGGGUCAGCGAGUAAAUAAGGAUAAGUCAUCAAUUUUCUUUAGUAAAGGCUGCCCGGGGACUUUAAGGCAGGAAAUUAAUCAUGUGUUAGAUGUAUAGAAUGAGAAGCUUUCGGAGAAGUACCUAGGGCUACCCUCUGAUGUGGGCAGAGCAAAGGAGGGCUCCUUCAAAUACCUCAAGGACAAGAUCUGGAAACAAGUUCAAGGAUGGAUGGAAAAAACGCUUUCGGCAGGAGGGAAGGAGGUACUCAUUAAAUCAGUUGCUCAAGCGAUUCCGACAUACUCUAUGGCAUGCUUUAAACUUCUGCGAGGUCUGUGCCAUCACAUCAACGGUCUCCUUCGCAAGUUUUGGUGGGGAUCGAAGAGAGGAGAAAGGAAAACUGCAUGGGUAUCUUGGGAGGUUAUGUCACAACCAAAGUUCAUGGGAGGCAUGGGAUUUCGCAACACUGAACUUUUUAACUUGGCGUUGUUGGCUCGCCAAGCUUGGCGCUUGUUACAAGAACCAGAUUCUCUCAGCGCUCGUAUUCUGAAGUCAGUGUACUACCCUACAUGCUCCGUCCUUGAUGCAGAGUUGGGGAAGCACCCCUCGCAGGUCUGGCGCUCAAUAAUUGAGGGACGAGAUACUCUGAAACUCGGUCUGAUCAAGCGGAUCGGAAGGGGAAAUGAAACUGAGAUAUGGCAUGAAAACUGGAUCCCAAGGGACUUCAAGCUCCGGCCGGUAUGUCCUAAGACUACUAAUCCACCACAAAUGGUUAGUGAUUUAAUUGAUCAAGCAACAGCUUCCUGGAACAUACGUACUAUUGAGGAGCACUUCUUUGAUAUAGAUAAAUCUGCUAUUCUUAACAUACCUCCGAGUACACGAGUACAGGAAGAUUUUUGGUCCUGACAUUAUGAGAGGAAGGGGAUAUUCACGGUUCGCUCGGCGUACAGGUUACUCGUAGCAACCAAGCAACAUCACACUGAUUGGCUCGAGCACAAUCCUGGACACUCUAACGUAGAAGCUGAUCGCCGUUCUUGGUCUAAAUUAUGGGGAGCAAUGGUCCCUUCCAAAGUCCGUGUGUUCGCGUGGCGUCUAGCCAAGACGUCCCUUCCGACUGGGGAUGUUAGGAAUCACCGGCAAAUGGCUGAUACGUCUGAAUGUUCGAUAUGUCACGCGGCGGUUGACACUUGGAGACACCCCCUUUUUGACUGUCGUAUGGCGAGAUGCGUUUGGGCCCUAUCGGAUGAGGAGCUAAUGGAGGUGAUUACCUCAAACCAGACGGACGAUGCAAAGUUAUGGAUGUUUUGGCUCGUUGAUACUUUACCCAAACAAGAGCUAGCUCGGGUUCUAGUUACGAUGUGGGCAAUUUGGUAGGCUCGAAGACGAGCCAUCCAUGAUAAUCAGUUUCAAAGUCCUAUGAGUACCCACUGUUUUGUGCUAAAGUUCUUAGAGGAUCUUGAAUCGGCUGCUACUGUUACCCAAAAUCAAUCACAGACUCGGCCUGUUAUAAAUCCCAGCGACCUGUUUGUGGCAGAUUUGGAUAUGCAUUGCAAUAGGUUGCCGCCGCCUGUGGACUGCGAGGCAAAGAUAAAUGUGGAUGGGGGCUUGUCGAGGAAUGGGGAGAAGGGGGCGGCAGCAGUUGUGUGCAGAGACAAGAAUGGAAAUUUCCUGGGGGCAUCGGCUGUUGUGUUUGAUGGCUUGGUGGAUCUGGCUUCUCUUGAAGCUCUGGCAUGCAGUGAAGCUUUUGCGCUAGCUUCUGACUUAUACCUACGAUCGUUUUGCAUUGCAACAGAUUGCUCGGAGGUGGCUGCGAAUAUUGGGUCCAGGAAUCCAUGCCAUUAUGCUACUACCUUAUUGGACAUCCACUAUCAGCGAAACCUCUUUCAGAACGUCAAGAUCAUCCACAAAAGAAGAAGCCACAAUGGAGAGGCUCAUGCUCUAGCCAAAGCGGCCUCCUCUCUUCCUUCUGGGCGCCAUUUGUGGCUUCAAUAUAUGCCCGAUAUCAUCUGUAUCCCUAUGAACAUUUAUGAUUAAUAAAGGAUAUAGUUGCUCAAAGAAAAAGUAGUGAUGGUGGGCAAUUCUAAAAAAAGUGAUUGCAGGCAACAACAGAUGUGAGGGCAUUGCCCAAAACAAAAACAAAAAACAGAUGAGGCCCUAAAAAACAGAUGUGAGGGAAACAACGCAUCGAUUUAGUACACAAACAUGGAAUUAAGGGGAAAAAAGGAUCGAUUGAUGGAUACUUGCAUGCUUGCGACAUGGGGCACAAUAUUGAUGGAUACUUUCAUGCUUGCAACAUGGGGCACAACUUAGCAAACUACUUCAUCUGUCUCGGUUUAUUAGAACUCUCUUAUUUUUGUCAAAAAUCGAUUAUAAAUUUUGAUAAUAAAAUAUAAACUAUAUGUUAUAAAAUUUAUACCAUCGGAAAUUUAUUCUGAAUACGAAUACAAUACUAUAUUUUCUGUAACAUAUACCACAUAUUUUGUUAAUUAUACUCAUGGUUGAAGUUUGACCCAAAAUACAAAGAGGCCCAAUAAACCCAGAUGAAGGAAGAUAUCUAAAAAAACUACUCCCUCUGUCCUAUAAUAUAAGAGCCUUUUUGACAUUAGAAGAGUGGCAAAUUAAAGUAUGAUGGCCGACAGUAUAGCGAAGCAGGAAGACACGUCUGGUAUUAAUUGAUUAAACAUUUAUGUCACUGAACCUUCUCCUUUGCAAUUGGUUUUGCCAUACCAAAUGUAUAGUUUGACCUCCGCCAUCCAUACGGGAGGGCAAUUGGGCUUGUAGGAGGGUAAAGGCAAAUCGAGUCUGCGGCCAAGGCGUGAUCUCUUGUGCAUCCUAGAUAGAGACACACAUCACACAGCCCCUACCGCCACACUAAUAGAAGAAGGCACAUCCAUUUGCCGACGUGACGACGCCAUUUUAGAGAAGACGUCUCUCUAAUUCCCUUUCUAUUGAUAAGGGCCCCGUAUUCUCCCCGCAAAAAAGGGCCCCGUAUUCUCAUCUCACUCCGGGCCCCGAAAAUCUCAGGAUCAGGCCUGCACGCAUAUGGAUAUGUACAAUUCAUGAAUACGAAUAUACGAUGUAGGUUAAUAGGCCAAAGAACAGCAGCGCAAGGGGGUACCGUACCAGCCAUGGAUGCUCUAUUUCAAAAAGUACAAUGUGCUUCAAAAGAAUGCCCUUCUUUUUUGUUUGCAUGUGCAUUUGAUGGCUUCAGCUCACAUAUAGGGAACUCCAGAUCAUCAACCGAAUUGCCCUGUAAAUCUCUUAGUUCAGUUUUAACCCGUGGAGGUACUGCAUUCCAAUCUAUUUCUAUUGCUCCAAUAUUUGGUUGACCUAAUACAUACAACAAUAGAAGAACCAACCAAUGAAGGAGUACAAGGACAACUCUAACCACAACAGAAAAUAAAUUAAAUAUGGGUUGAAAAUUCGUAGUGCUACUCGUCUAUGAUCAUCAACAUAGAAAAUGUGCAAUACAAAAGUCGUGUGGAACUACGAGAUGAUGCUACUGGUCAAAGAAAAUAUCAAAUUGUCAACCGUGCACGACAAAUUUGAUAAAAUUCAUCCAAAAUAGCUUCAAACAUGAACACAAAAUUGAACAUUUACGGUCGACAAAACUACGAACCGGUCGCCUAAAUGGAACCAUAACAUCGAUGUGCAUCUUUUUCACGUAGAGCUUAUCUCAAAUCGAAGCAUCGUUGUGUAGAUUAGAAGGGACUUAUGUAAGUGAACAAGAUUAGUAGUUAAACGAAAAACCACACGUGAGCUGUUUUGCAUCGAUCAAGCCUGCGUCGCUGGAAAUGGUCAAAUCGAGGGUUCCCUGCAUGCAGGCCAAAGGUACUUUAAGUUCCGUGUGGGGUUACUUUUUGAUGCGACCCAAGCAACCAAAUAUCCCAAUUUCUUGGCCUAGCCGAGGUUAAUGCGAGCAACCAAACGCUUCCUUAGAGUUGCAUUUUUUGGCCGAAGCCGCGGCUCGCUCAACGCACUCGGCACUUUAAUGUUUGGUGUUUCCUAUUUGACGCAUCUUGCGUCAAAUAGGCGUCGAAUCACACAAGUAGCCCAGCGAGGAAGCGAAACUGGACGACCCAUUUAGGUGCACACAGGUCCCCGAUUUUGGGAACCUUCCUAAAGAUUCUUGUCUAGUUUUUUUAGCCUUUUCAGUUUUUUCUUUUUUCUGCUAUUUCUUUACAGGUUUUCUUUGGUUUCUAUUUCCUAGUCAAAAUUUUCCAUUUUCCAAAAUAGUUUGAGUUUUAUAGUUACUUUAAAAAAUCAGAAAUUUAUUUUUAAAACAGUGUUUCAAAUAUUAUUUUAGAAUUUCAGAAAAUAUUCUUGUUUUAAAUUUGGUCCUAAAUUCUAAAAAUGUUUGGGAAUUUUAAAAAUUUGUUGUAUUUCCAAUAGAAAUCAGUAUCUCAAAAUGUUGUUUUAAAAAGGUAUUCAAAAAUUUCAAAAAUGCUUCUCAAUUUUCCUAAAUGUUCGAUUUUCCCAAAAAAAGUUAAAAAAUGUUCACCUUUCGAAAAAUAUUCAGACAUUUGAGAGAAAAAAUGUUCAGAUUAUAUAAAAUUAUUCCCAUUUUCUUAAAAUAUUCACGAUUUUGGAAAACAAAUGUUUGCAGAAAGUGUGCAUGUUUCUCAAAAAACUUCUCAAAUUUCAAAUUUUCAAAUAUAUUAGUUGAUAAAAUGGGACGAUGUAUUUAGACCCAAAGAGAUGAGAGGUCUGGUGUGAUUGAUCUAGAUGUAACAGAUAUUAGUCGUCUUUGUAAGUGGAUAUGGAAGAGUGAAAAUGAACAUGGUGUGUGGCUAGAUCGAUUUAGGUAAAAAAUUAUAUAGAGAAAUGUACUUUGAGAUCAUGUAAAAGCAAGCCUUGGCAAUCUCAUUUUUGGGAGUGAUUAAUGAAAGUUAAACCUAUUUUAUGACAGUAUAGUAGAGAGAUGGUAAGUAAUGUGGAGAGAACUCUUUUCUGGAAGAUUUAUGGAUUAGAGAGAAACCUCUAUGUGUGUAAUUUCCAAGAUUAUAUAUGCUUACAUUUGUGCCAAUUUUACUAUUGCUAAUGCGUUGGAGAUGAUACGAGUAAUAUUAGAUUUACAAGGGUGUUGCGGGGAGAAACUUCCAAGGUUUUGGGUACCGGGAGGAAAAUUCGAUACCACCCACUAUCUUUGUUUCUCACUACCCCACAAGAAUUGCGUAUACCGAGAAAAAAUAUUGUAAUUGUUUUCAAACAAAAUUAGCAUACAGUUAACUAAGAAGGAAACUCGUAUAGAACAUGUAACCAAUGGCGGUCUCGCGGUAAUUGUCGCCGCCCUGCACCAACGCCUCAAUAGGUCAUGCGUUGAGUCCCUUACAUGUUUUGUUCCUAAUUCUGAUGUAAAUAAAGAUGGUGUUAUUGCAAAAUGUUGAGGGCCAUAUGGGGAAUCGAACUCUGUCGACUUCCUAAGAGAAGGGUGAGGGGAGCCAACCACGCAUCGCUCGCCGGUUCUAAAAUAUUUGGGUUCUAUCGUUCUAGUGGAAUCUAUUCCAAACUCAAGAUAUUUUGAAUUCAAAAUUUGUUUGAAAAUUUCGAGCGGAUUUCCCCCCGGUAUUUGCAUUAUCCAUGGUAUCCACAUUUCGUGCCCAUCCUCGGUAUUUUUUGGAAUUCGGUAGCCAAAACCUUGAAAAUUGCUAACAUGCGGGCUUAACUUAAAGCAGUAUGUAGAGGAGUGAAUCUUUGUGAAGAAGAGGAUACAUGCACAUUUAUUUUGAGUAAAACUGGUAGAUUUACUGUUUGAUCUUUGUAUUUUACUUUAAAAACAGAUCAGGUAAUAUCGCCUCAUGGUAAGAUAUGGUAUAUUGGAAUUCCUCUAAAGAUAAAAAGUUUUCAUUUGGAUUGGUUUUAACAAUAAUGUGUUGACAUUUUUAACAACAAACAACUAGAACAACUGUUAUACGGUAUUUUCAUUUAUAUAAAAUAUAUAUUGAGUACGAUAUUUACAAAAGGAGGGAAAAAACUAAAAAUAUAUUCUACUAUUUAAUUUCUACUUAUGGGAUCAUGUUUUUAGAUAAGAAUUUCUAGUCCUUUGAUGCUAACGUCAUAGAUGUGCAUCAGUCCACUAUUUCAAAGUAUCCAAAUUCAUGGACUUGAUCAUGUGUUCACGCAUUGAAAGGCCUUCCGUGAGACUGAAUAUUGCAACCGUUGACACUUUGAACCUCUCUCCUAGAUAUUUUCCCAUUCCUUUGAUUCCAAAUAUCCAGGAGCCUAGAAUGAUGACAUCCAUUGCAAUUUAAUUCCUGCUUAUGCGAUCAUGUUUCAUCAAAAGUUGAACUACCUCUCUGUUUGGUUGGAAUUAUGCUAUUCCAACAAUACUAUGAGAAGCAGCAAUCCCAAAAUAGGUGCAUUGAGGUUGCUUCACCUCUUUCUUCACAAAAUACGCAUUCAUAACAAUCUAGAUGCAUGUACUUUCUUCUCAAGAGGUUUCUGGUGUUGCCUCUAUCACACAACAACAACCAAAAACCAUCUUAUGUCUUACCUAAUUACAAUCUUCCAAAGCCAUUUGAAUAAGACACGAACCUUUCCAUCGGCACUGGGAUAUUUAUACAUCUUGAUUGACGAAUAUCCAUUGCUUUGCCCAUGAAAUUUCCAGUUAUGUUGUGUUUGAGGGCUGUUGUGUUGCAAGAUCAAGGCUGGAGUUCAUUAUAUUGAUCAAAAGCUUGAGAUGAUAGAGGUGUAUGAAAGUGUAAGGCUGAAUCCUUAGAAUUUAACCAACUUGCAGUAGAUUAUCUGUCAUCCAUGGCAUACGAAUGAAGGUCGGGUAAUUUACAAGGCCAUCCCCGAGGCACUUCGGCUUGUCCACUGGCUUCCAGAAUCUCAUGCGCUUCGGCGCCCCCCUGAGGAUGGUAGUUUAUCCUAGAGGUCAGAGACGUUGAACCAGCCCUUGUGCCAAUCUCUAACUGAAAAGGGCAUAGGGGUUUUGAAGAACCUAGUGGCANNNNNNNNNNNNNNNNNNNNNNNNNNNNNNNNNNNNNNNNNNNNNNNNNNNNNNNNNNNNNNNNNNNNNNNNNNNNNNNNNNNNNNNNNNNNNNNNNNNNNNNNNNNNNNNNNNNNNNNNNNNNNNNNNNNNNNNNNNNNNNNNNNNNNNNNNNNNNNNNNNNNNNNNNNNNNNNNNNNNNNNNNNNNNNNNNNNNNNNNNNNNNNNNNNNNNNNNNNNNNNNNNNNNNNNNNNNNNNNNNNNNNNNNNNNNNNNNNNCAAGGUCACAUAUGUCGCUCUCGUUCUUUUGGACCUUGAUCCGAAAGAAGCACUACAAAAAAACACUUGCGUGAUGAUACGUGUUUGUCAUAGUAGGUCACGUUUUCUUUCAUGCAUGUACAUCCAUGACGAUUUUAUGACAGAAUCAAGAUAGUCAUACCUGUGUUGUCGCACAAGUGUUCCAUGACAAUACUCAAAUUAUCAUCAUGGAAGUGUCCACUUCCAUGACGAUAAAUGGCGCGUCAUGGAGGUGCUUUCCUCAAGGGUAACCGACACGUGGCAUCCACCAUAACAGGUCGCCGUUAAGCUAUCAGAUUCUAGUUUGGAUCCGAGAACCCGUUAACAGCCCGGACCAAAGGGGAUUUUCCACGUGUAAAACUGUCAUUGGCCAGAGGUGAUGUAGGGUGGAAACCCUAGGGCCGAUCUUUCACGAUUUGGAGGUGAUCCUACGACGAACACGAAGAACACGAGGGGAAACAUGAGGGGAAACGUGAGGGGAAACACUCAAAUCAACGAGAACAAUCACACAUGUGCUAGAUACAUGAACAUAAAGAGUGAUAUGAGAUCCAAACACAACAAAGGAUGAUACAAAAGGCGGUAGUUCUUCUCCGUGAGGAGGUCUUGAGGGGUCUUCCCGUGAGGAGUCUUGAAUGCACUUGGGGGAUCUUCUCCGUAGAGGUCAUGUACUCCAAUGGAAAUGGUAUUAAGUGGAUGAGCAAAGCUCUAUCUCUCAAAUGAGCUAAUCCUUUGCUGACCCUAGAAAUAGGGAGGAGAAGGAGUAUAUAUAGUCUAGGGGGGGGGCGAAGGGAUACACGGGCCUCGACCCUUUACUAUGCGCAGACAGGGGGGCGGAUGUCCGGGCAGUCGGGCCGGAUGUCCGGGCCUUUGAGGGGGUGCCGGAUGUCCGGGGCAGGGGGCCGGAUGUCCGGGCUGCUGGGGCAGGCUUCGGCGAGGUUCUGUGAAGGGCGCCGGAUUUCCAGGCUGGGGCCGGAUAUCCGGGCUGGGGUCGGGCCAGAUGUCCGGGGCCUGAGUCGGAUGUCCGGGCCAUGUAGCUUCGGCUGGGCGGUGGCUAUGGUAUAUGCUCCAGGGGCCGGAUGUCUGGGUCCUGGAGACUUAUUCGACUCCUUCUGUGGGUUCUCUUCAUCCAUGGACUUGGGGACUUGUCCGUCUUCACGUGCAUCUUCGAGGGGUCCUUCUUGGUACCUGAUCAUGCACAAUAUUCGAGACUUAUGUAGUAGCCAUGCCUUGAGUGGGUCAUAUGGAAUAUCAUAAAGGAGAGAUGUCACCUCGGUCUCGAGAGCUCUAGCUCAUGCUCAUGUCAUUGGUCCUUUUGGCACUUGGUGAGACGAUGGUAGGUCCAUGGGGAUGACCAAAGGAUGCUCCGCAUCAUCUCCCCCCCUCCCUUGGGAAAGAUCCGACCUCGGAUCAAAAUCCUCAUCACCAUGGUAGGGAGAGAGAUCUUUGUUGUUGAAGAUAUCACUCACGGAGUACUUGUCGCGUGGUAAGUCAAUCUUGUACGCAUUGUCGUUGUAGCGCUCGAGUACGUUGAAGGGUCCAUCGGCUCUUUGUUGUAGUUUGGACUUGCGUUUGUUGCGGAAGUGUUCCUUGCGAAGGUGUAGCUGUACAAGAUCUCCAAUGUUGAAUAUCAUGCGUUGCUUGUUGAUGUUGAGCUUGGUCACGAGUCAUUCUACUUGGCGCUCGAUGGUGUGCCUUGUAUCUUCAUGCAUAUUCUUGAGGUAGUUCACUCAUGCAUUCGCGUCCAUGUUGAUGCGCCCUUGUAGUGGUAGAGGAAAAUGGUCCAAUGGGGACAACAGGUUGAAGCCGUAGACGACCUCGAAGGGGGACUUGCCGGUAGUCGAGUGUCUUGCAUGGUUGUAGGCAUACUCGACGAUGGGUAGACACUCCCCCCACUCCUUGAUGUUCUUCUUGAUCAAUACGCGUAGUAGAGUGGAGAGCGUUCAGUUCGUGACCUCUGUUUGGCCGUCGGUUUGAGGAUGGUAUGCCGAAGAGAACAAAAGCUUGAUUCCGAGCUUGGCGCAUAGCGUCUUCCAAAAGUAGCUGAGAAACUUGACAUCGCGGUCCGAGACAAUCGUAUUUGGCACUCCAUGUAGACGCAAGAGUUCCCUACAAAAGAGAUUCGCGACAUGUGAAGCAUCGUCUAUCUUGUUGCAUGGUAUGAAAUGUGCCAUUUUAGAGAAACAGUCCACAACAACAAACACGGAAUCUUUGCCAUUUCGCGUUCGAGGCAAACCAAGCACAACUCUGUACUAAUUUCUUCCCAUGGGUGAUACGGAAUAGGAAGUGGCAUAUACAGACCAUGGGAUUGAGCUUUAGACUUAGCUUUGCGACAUGUAUAGCACCGGUUGGUGAAGCGUGAGACGUCGCAGAACAUCUUGGGCCAAAAGUAGUUCUUGGAGAGUGUGGCGAAUGUCUUGUCGCGUCCAAAGUGUCCCAUAAGUCCUCCUCGGUGAACCUCUUGCCAAAGUAACAAAUGAAGAGAAGACUCGGGAAUACAUAGUUUGUUAGCUCUCAUAAGAUAAUCAUCUUUGAUGUAAUAGCGUUCCCAAGACGUAUGCAUCAAACAUUUGGCAUAAGGAAUAACAAAUGUAGGAUCAUGCACAUACAAGUCUUUUAUGUGCUCAAAGCUAAUGACAUUCAAUUCAAGUUGGGUAACAAGCAUGCAUCUACGGGAAAGUGCAUCCGCCACAACAUUCUCUUUGCCUUUGGUGUACUUGAUGACAUAAGAAAAUGACUCAAUGAAUUCACUCCACUUAGCAUGACGCUUGUUCAACUUAGUUUGGCCCUUAAGAUAUUUAAGUGUUUCAUGAUCCGUGUGAAGAAUGAACUCAUGAGGGCGGAGAUAAUGUUCCCAAACAUGUAAGACUCUCACUAAAGCAUAUAGCUCUUUGUCAUAGAUGGGAUAAUUGAGUUGCGCUCCUGAAAGUUUCUCACUAAAGUAAGCUAUGGAGCGCUUCUCUUGCAUUAACACACCUCCUAUGCCGUACCCACUAGACUCUCACUAAAAUGGUUUAUCAAAGUUGGGUAAUGCAAGCAAAGGGGCAUGCGUAAGCAAAUUCUUAAGCUCAUUGAAUGCAGUAACUUGAGAUGGUCCCCAAACAAAUGGUGCAUUUUUCUUACUCAAAGCAUGUAAAGGUAAAGCAAUGGUGCUAAAAUCCUUCACAAAUCUACGAUAGAAACCGGCUAAGCCAAGAAAGCUACGCACUUGUUGCAAGUUGGUUGGUUGGGGCCAAGUUUUAAUAGCAUUGAUCUUAGAGUCAUCCAUGCACACCCUUAGAAGACACAACGAAACCCAAGAAAACAAGCUUAUCAACACCAAAAAGGCAUUUAUCCAUAUUAGCAUAACGACACUCUUUUCUAUGAGUUUGCAACACGGUUCUAAGAUGGGUGACAUGAUCUUUGAGAGAUUUGCUAAAUACAAGAAUAUCGUCAAAAUAGACCACAACAAAUAUGCCAAUGUAAGGACAAAGAACAAAAUGCAUCACGCGCAUAAAGGUGCCGGGUGCUUCAGAUAAACCCAUUGGCAUGACAAGCCAUUCAUAUAAGCCAAACUUGGUUUUGAAAGUGGUUUUCCAUUCGUCACCUUCUUGGAUGCGUAUUUGAUAGUAGCCACUUUUAAGAUCAAUUUUAGAGAAAACUGUGGCUCCGCUAAGCUCAUCUAGCAUGUCGUCUAAGCGUGGAAUGGGGUAGCGAUAUCUAACCAUGAUAGCAUUGAUAGGACGACAAUCAGAACACAUGCGAUAUGUACGAUCUUUCUUGGGAACAAGGAUUACCGGGACGACACAAGGGCUCAAGCUUUCUCGUACAUGGUCGUUGUCGAUGAGUUGUUGUACUUGCCGUUGGAUAUCCUUGGUUUCCUCGGGGUUGACGCGGUAGGGAGCCUUGUUAGGAAUAGGUGCUCCGGGGAUGAGGUCAAUGCGGUGUUCGAUGCCUCGAAGAGGAGGUAGACUCGGAGGUAGCUUGUCGGGGAAUACAUCUUGGAAUUCCUGCAAUAGAGAAGAUAACACUAAAGGUAGAUUGUGAGAUGUGUUAGUUUCUGUCGCCCCGUCCUUGCACAAAAGGACAUAGUGCAUAACACUUGAUGGGUUCCCACACACUUCUCUCAUCUCACUUUUGGUGGCAAAUAGUACUAAGUUUUUCUUGUCGCUCAUCGUGGAGGCACUCAUUUUGGGCUUAUGACUCUCACUCCCUUUUCGGUGGCUCACUCUCUCACUAUUCUCUCCAUGAUGGUUGGCUUGCUUGUUGGCGAUCACUUGACUUGGUGACAUAGGUCGUAGCAUGUACUCCUUUCCCGUCAUAUUGAAGCUAUAGUAGUUUGUUCACCCGUUUUGGAUGACGCCUCAGUCAAAUUGCCAUGGUUGUCAAAGAAGGAGGUGGCAAACGGACAUCGGAACGACAUCACAUUCCAAAGUGUCUUCAUAUACUCCGAUCUUGAAAGAAACUUGCACCAUGUGCUCCACUUGAAUAGUGCCGGAGUCGCUUAACCAUUGGACCUUGUAGGGGCAAGGAUGCUUCAUCUUGACCAAUUGGAGCUUGGAGCAUAGUUCUUCACUCGCCAAGUUAUGGCAACUUCCUCCGUCGAUGAUGACCUUCACGAACCUUCCAUUGAUGCCCGCCUUGGUGUGGAAGAUAUGGCAUAUUUGGUCUUCGUCUUAUUGAUGUUGAAGUGUCAAGACCUUGGAGACAACGAGAGUGGGGCUCGAAUCUUCGUCACAAAAGACUUGAUCAUCUUCAUCUUCAUUCGCUUGCCGGUGCAUAGCCACAUGCUCAAGGGCUUCCAUUUCCCCUUCACUCAUGGAGUCGUAUGUACCAUCGUCGUUGAGGAUCAUGGUGCGCUUGUUGGUACACUCAAAGGACUUGUGGCCUCGGCCGCCGCAAGUGAAGCACUUGAUGGAACUUGUCUUGAUGGUCUCAUCCGGUGGAGUUGUAGAUGAUGAAGCUCUCGGCUUGAAGUUACUUGUAUUAGGAGGACGACUUGAGGAUGUCGAAGUUUUCUUGUAACUUGACUUGUCGCCAUUGCUUGGUGAAGCUUUCGUCAUGGAAGAAGAUGUUGAAGUCGUUGACGCUUGAUUGUUGGAGAAGCCAUAGGACUUGGAAGAGAACUUGGCAUGCUUGAAGUCAUCUUGCACUUGUCACUCCGCUUUGGUAGCUUGACGCACUAGCUCGAUGAGGUUGGACUAAGGUUGUACAGUGCGUCAACCUUAGUAGUGCUGCUAGUAGCAGUGGUACAGUAGGUUAAUUAGGUGAAGUUAAAUGAAUGACCUAAAUGAAUGAAAUUAGUAGUUAACUGAAAUUUUUUCAUUUCAUCAUUAUAGAGCACUAAAGUUAACUGAAUUUUGUUCUAAUAGUAGUUAACUGAAUUUUAUUCUAACUUAGUUUUUGAAUUAGAUGUCAAUUUGGGCAGUAGUGUUUAGUUUAGAGAAAAAAUCAAUAUAAAAAUAUAAAUUUCUAUUACUGCUGCUAGUCCUGUAGGUUCUUAAUUUGUACUGAUUUUUUAUUAUGACAGAAAUUUAGGACAUAAUUUCUAGGGUUCAUAAUUUGAAAUUUAGGACAAAAAUUGAGUUCUAUGGUUCAUAAUUUAUAUUAGUACAUAAUUUUUAUUAGGACAACAAUUUAGGACAGAAAUAUGUAAAGGUUCUAGGUUUCUAGGGUUCAUCCAUCUAUAUUCGGUUUUUUAAUUGAGUUUGAGAGAGCAUGAGAUUUGUGUAGAUUUUCUUGAAGUGUCAAACACUAGGAGAUGCAAAUUUGAAGUGGUCAGGUUAUAUGCAAAUUCCUCAAUUGUGUUUGCUCAUGUAUAUCUACUGUUGUAGUUGCUCAUGUACAGGUUCUUAAGUGGUCCUGUUAUAUGCAACAUUGAAGUAAGUGGUUCGAUUGUGCCCAAGUGGCCUUUUGUUUUUUGCAGGGGAUGAUUCCGAGUGGCCUAUGUUUUGCCGGAAUGUUCAUUCAUUUCCGCUCCGGCAAAUUUGAGGCGCUCUAUUUGUCCAGUUUGUAGCAAAGUUCAUGCCGAAAUUUUCCGUGAAUUUCGGCAUGACUUGUGCUACAAACUAGGACAUAUCGAGUGCCCGGGAUUUGCCGCAACGAGAAUGAAUCAACAUUCCUGCAAAACAUUGGCCUUUUUAUGUCAUUAUUCAUUUUAUUAGGUCUAGAAUUAAUUGACCAGAUUUAAUCAUAGGAAACAUGGCUAACAACAAUGAAGGACAGGGUUCUGGUGAUUGCAACGUCUACGCGGUGGCAGCCGCCUAUUUGAACCUUCUCGAUGAGCAACGGUUGUUGCAGGGCCCACCAGUCACAUCCGAGACUGAGACCGACAUUGAGACUGACACCGGCGCCGAGACUGGCACCGAGACUGGCGGAGCCGGUAUAGAACUGAAACCAAAGAGGCAACGGUGCCCAAACCAGCUCAUCACUACUAGACUGGUGGUCACGGAGGUGGACUCCGACAAUUUUGAGCCAAAAGAGCCUGCGGAAGCGCGCGCAUGCUACGACAAUCUAAUAGGCUGCAUCCUAUGGGAAACCGCCACCAUCAACGAUGAGAAACUAAAGAAGAUACCAGAUAUGGAGCAGUCCCUCCUAACUAAGCUGCACCAGGUAUUCUUGUUCCCAGGCUGGGAUCAAAUCAAAUAUAGUGAUCCAGAUAAAGACCCGGCAAUGAAGAAGAUAAACGAACUCACCAUGGGCAAGUUUAGCAGUGCGUUGUCCGCCUGGAAGGUAAGGGUGAAACAUCGGAUCAUCGACAAAAAGGAACCCUACUGUGAGAUUGUAAAGGAUAAUCCGACAAUUACGGAAGAGCAGUUUGAAAUAUUCAAGAAGGCUUGCGUUGCUGAAGAUGUCAAAGAAAAGUCGGAGUACAUGAAGGGGCUCCAAGAGAGGAACAUGGGGUGCCACCACCUCGGAAGCUGUGGUUACACGGGGAAGAGGCCCAUAUGGGCCAAAGAGGAUGCAGAAUGCGAAAGUCUGGGGAUCCCAGACCCCUUGGUGGAGUUCACCAUCCCGCAGGAGCGUGACGUCAUCAGGACCCGAUACCGUUGGGACCCAGUCAAUAAGGUUUUUGAUACGGACGCAGUCACGAAGGAGUUCAUGAGACUGUUGAUAAUUAUUAAUUUACCACCUAAUUUUAGCUUCUGAUCAAUUCGACUGCACGUUUAGUCACAUUUGUAAACGCUCCUUGUUCCUUUUGUAGAGGCCCAAGUGGGACACCCCAUUCAACCGGGCCUUGAACAUAUUGAAAUGAUUCCCGGUGGACACUCGGCCGUCGUAUGGACGCGUGCACGGCGUCGGAGACGGCGCCACGUGGAAGAAGUACUACCGUGAGACCACGGAGGAGAGGAAGGAAAGACGGAGGUUAAAUGAAGAAAACAUCGACAAGAAGGUUGAGAUUGCGGUUGAAAAGAAAUCAACCGAGAUAGUCAGAGCAGCGGUAGCUACCGCAAGAGAGGAAAUGGCAGCUUCGUAUAGUGUCUUGCUUCCGGCUAUCGUCAGUUGGACCAAGCAAAAUCCAAAUAAAGAGGCAGCGGACUUUCCCCUUUCCAACUUCUUCGGGAGCAGCUCGUUUAGCGCACCUGCUCCCGCACCCGCUAGCAGCCCGUCCUCCGUCUCUGGCGUGCUCGACGGGGCUUCGUCUUUGGCCGAGCUCGACACCCUCACAUUACCUGUCAUACCGACCCUCUUCAAUAUAUGUAUAAUCUCCCGUUUCCGUUGCCUUUCGGAUGUCUCAUGUCGCAGACAUGUCUUUGCAGGCCGACGUAACCCCGUGCACCAUACUGUACACCAUCAGCGGCCAGAAGGUGGACGUGGGGAAGGCGACGAUAGUGAAGCCGAAGGAACAAUUGUUCCACAGCGGCCGAUCCCCCCUAACGUCUUCAAGGUUUCCGUGGCCAGUGUCAAACCGGGCCACGAGAAUUUGGCUCCUCUGGUACUAGGGGGAGAUGAUGACGAGACCUUGCGGCGGCUUGGCGGUUGCAAGAGUUGGGUCCUAUUGUGGCUAAAGAGUCUGCUUCGUCUGGAGGUGGCCGGGAGCACACCCACGACCACACAGCCUCAGCAAGGUAUGUACAUCAACACCCCACCUACCCAAUUAGCGUCGCCUGUCGUGCCGGGUGUUGGGGAUAUAACUAUUAGGUAUAACCCGCCCAGGAGGGGCCAGGUCAUACCACUCACGACUUGUAAAAUAAAGAUGGCAGAUCAUGGCAAGCCUAUUGAUGGCCCAAGACCCAGAGGCGACUUGAGGCCCAAGAGGAUGAACCGCCAUAUGUAUAACUUGUAUUGUAAGGCAAGCUUAGUUAGUCACCGAGCCAGACACGUUGUGUAUGAGCUGGCCGGGACUCUGUAAGCCGUCGGGCAUCAACCUGUGUAUAUAAAGGGGUGACCCGGCAGCGGGUUAACUCAAGAAACAACAAGUCGAGAACUAGGUCAAGCGGAUUCGCUCCCUGGUAAUCGAAACCCUAGCAAUACAACCCCAAACUGGAGUAAGCCUUUACCUCAUCACGAGGGGCCGAACCAGUAUAAACUCUCUGUGUCAUUUGUCCCGAUUAACCCCUUUAAGCUAACCUAGUUGCGAUGGCUCAACACCUAAGUCCUUUUGCUAGGACAUCUGCUUUGUUAAGUCCGCAACAGUUGGCGCCCACCGUGGGGCCAGCGCAUGGUGGUUUUGAGUUCUUAAAGGGCAACUUCGCAGGGAUCAAGGGAUAGGCUAUGGGCCGAAUGACCAAGAGUCGUCGCGGCAAGCUCUACAUCGACGACACAGGCUGGGGCCCCGACGCCGGCUCAAUUGAGUAUGGGUACCGGGUCCCCUUCGGCGGAAUCCACGUCUUCAUCGGCAAGAUCGGCGAAUCGGGCCCUGAGCCGGACACCUACACCGACAUCAUCGAGACGGCUCAGCGUGCACGACCCGCCAAGGAUCAAACUGCCGUGAAGCACGCCUUUGUGGGUUUCAUCCAUGGGGCGGAACUUGAGGAAGGAUCUCUGUCUGGUGGUGAGACGACCAUCUACUCUGAUGGUGAGUCGUCAACCGGUGAGACCAAUUCAAUGUAUCAGCUACAAGACGGCCGGCUUGGGGGCUGUUCCGAUGGGGACAGUAUUCCGGACCCCUAUGAGCCGCCGAACAGGGUGGCAAUCUUCAUGGCAGGUACACAACCAGUGCUCGGUUCGACACCCGCCGUAGCCAUGACCUCCAGCUCAACGGCUGCAGCGACAGCUGGGGCUAGCAGCUCUGCGCGUUCGCCAGCUCAUGUUCUGACCGAAUUGUUGGAUGCUUUGGCGGCUUUGAUGGGGGUGGAGGUAACCCCAGACACUCAAGAACAGCAUAAAGUGGAUGUUGCGAAGCUACGAGAUGAGAUAGCUAAGGCCAAGUAGGAGCUGGUGGCUGAGAACGCUAGGAUGGCCACGGAGCAGGCUGCUUUGGACGCUCAAGCACAACGGAUUCAUGCAGACUCUUUCCGGCUUACCUUGGAUCAAGACGCUUCAAAUGCCAUCAUGAGAAGGAGGCACCAGAGUCGCUUACCUCCGGUUUACGAUGAGAAACCUCUUCAACACACGUGGGGCACGAACCAAUGACCCGCCUAUGGUGAACCAGGCAGUUGAGGCGCCCGUGACCGGAGCGCCGGUUCAGCCGCGUACUGCGGAUCCGCCUCGUUUGGAUAUGACUCCGCCUCAGCAUGUUCCGACACCGUCGGGUCAUUAUUCUAACCCUCUGGAUAAUAUGAUUGCUGCGGCGACACGAUUGGUAGCUCUCCCAGUUGAAGGCGAGUCUCCGGCGGCGAUAGAGACGCGGAGGGCCAGAGAGCUUCUUCAGACAGCAGUGGCUCAACAGGCAGCUUAUUCGUAUAGCCGCGAAUGGAUUCACUCAACUCCUCGGCCAAGCUGGAGUUAUAGCUAGCAUAUUGACUCGCCAGCAGUUUCGAGCAGUUAACAGCACCGUAAUCAGCCUCAUGGGCAUGAUCCGCCGCGCGCUGGCAAUGAUGUGCGGGCUUUGGUGGACCAGGGUAGGGCGCAGCAUAGGCUGAGCUGGCAGCUCAGUUAGCGGCUCAACAGCAAUCUCCAGUUUAUCUGUCAAUGUCUGUGGGGGCAGGAGUGACCUCUAGAAUGUUGGGUGUGCCAUGUUUAGUGCCGGCUCUACGCAACGUGCGCUUGCCUAAGGAUUUCAAGGGCCCCCGUAAGGUGCCUAACUACACAGCGGAUGAACCUCCAGAAGCUUGGAUUGAGAGCUAUGAGAUGGCUAUGGAGAUGUUGGAUGUUAGUGAUGCUGCAUGUGCUAAGUAUUUCACCAUGAUGUUGGAUGGGCCGGCUCGUAACUGGUUGAAAUGGUUGCCUGCUAACUCCAUUGGUUCAUGGGUUGAAUUGAAAUCCCGUUUCAUUCAGAAUUUCAAGAAUACGUGCAAGCAGCCCAUGUCGAUUCUUGACUUAGACACUUGUGUCCAGGGCGAAGGAGAGUUAACGACCCAGUGGGUACGCCGGAUCUCAACCAUAUUAUUCACUCCUCAAACAGUAUUAACGUCGGCUCAGCUAUCCUCAUGUUAGAGAAAACUGCUGUUUCCUUCCCCGCAAACAGAAGCUGGGGCGGCUUAAGUGCCACUGUAGUGAUAUGGGGGAGCUCAUGGCGGCUCUCGUCAAAUACGCCGACUCGAAUAGUACCAAGGAUCCAGAAUCUAAUGAGGAGAAGGCUGGAAAGGGGAAGAAAGACGGUAAGGGGUGUAACACCCCAAAAGUUUAACCAUGAUUUAUUGAUUUAAGUUUUGCCAGGAGAAUUUUUUUUAUUUUUCUGGAUUUAUCUUUGAUUUCAGAACCUUUCUUUUCUUUGAUAUUGUGGAGUUUUUGCCCCAAGUAAAAAAAAACUUUUCAAAGAUAUUAUUUGGACUUGUAUACCCUCUCUUGAACAUUUCUUUUAUCAGUGAAAUUUUCUAUAUGAUUAUUUUCCUUGAGCUCUAUAUCUUUAAAAAUGAUUUUUCUUAAGCUUUAGAGCCUCUUUUGCACUACAACCCUUUGAUAGAUUUAUUUAAAAAUCCCACCAAAAUUUGGGGAUGACAUGUGAUGUUCCUAGAUCACUUUUGUGCAAAAAUACCCUUUAGUCAUUUGGAGAUUUUGAGCUUUUCCCCAAGUUUUCAAAUCUAGUCCAGUUUGCACUUUUGCACUACAACCUAUUUAAAUAUUUCUUUAAAACUUACACCAAAAUUUGGGGAUGUUAGUAGGAGUAUAUUAUUCAACUUUAUGCAAAAACCUACUGGUGUUCUAUGGAAAAUUUGAGCAAAACAUCCUCUUUUGCUCUCUGGACCAGAUUGGCCUUUUCUACUGCAACUCCAAUUUUUAUUGCUCUGUUGCCCAUGAUUCUUCUUCUUGCUUAUAGUCCACCCUACAAAACCCUUAAGUUCAGGAGAAUGCACCCAUGAGAGUAUUUUUGGUCCAUGAAACUAUGCCUUUUCUUUCUGUCCAGAAAUGGUUCCCUCAAAAACUUCCACUAGCAAGUUUCUGUUUUUGCCAAACUAACCUUGCCAUCCUCCUUUUCAUCUAAAGAGACUAGGAUCUGGAGAUUUUGGCCACCCCAAGAGUUGCCUAGAUGCCCUUAGCAUUCUGUCAAGCACCUUGUGUGCAUGGUCAGAUUUGACAUAAUUUUUAGUUUGCACACUGGACCUGCUUACUUUGCCUAACCACCAUGUCCACUAACCUCCUUGCAAACAAUAACCUAGACCUGCCAAACCUCACAUGAUGUGGAGCCCUCUGGCAUGCCAUGGCAUUUUGCCGAACAGCUCGCGUGCGUGCGCUGGGCGCGCCCAGAGCGCACGUUUUGCACGCGCGCGCACCGAGUCGCCGCGUCCCACUACUGUCGCCCCGCGCUCGUUCUGGCCCUUCCCCACUCGCAGCCGACACGCCCCGACUCCUUCCUCGCUGCAGAGCCGCUCCUGGAGCUCCACAGCGCCGCCGUCAGGUCGGCCGUGGCCGCUAUCGGCCGGCCACAGCAGGCCCCUGCCCUGGACGGCGCCGCCCGAGCCACAGCCGCGCGCCAGCUCGCCCUGAACAGCUCGAGCUCAUCCCCUCACCCUGCCAGACCCCGCCAGCCACCGCCACGCGCCCCCUGGCUACUGAACGGCAGUUCGCCGUCGAGCUUAUCCCCGGCCGCCGCGGAACCGACCUACUCGCGCUAUAAAUAGGACCCCCGAGCUCGCCUAGGCCCUCAGGCAACCUCAAGCCAACCCUCUGGAGCUCCCCUAGCCCGCAAUCAACGGAUGAAGGCCGUCUUCCCCAUCUCCGGCAGGUUCGGCCGCCGCCACUCCCUGGCUCCGCUCGUCGCAACUAGAGCCUCCCCCGUCCAACCAGUGCCACCAUCCCCUUCCCCUCGAUCUCGCGGAGCCACCCAACACCUCAAAUUCGCUCGGGAACCGUCGUAGCACGAACCCCCAAACUCACCCGAAGCUGCCGUUCGCCGCGGAGCUCGCCGCCGGUGACUCCCUCCAUCCCUGCCACCUCCUCGACCACCGGGAGGACCGCCCUAGCCUGGCGGAUCCAUCCCCGCCCUCAGAACCCCGCGAGGAGCCGCCGUUCGCCGGCGUUGAUCGCCGGAGCCCCGCCUCUGUUCGGCCAGAGGAGGAAGGAGGCGGGGGCGACCGGUCAAACCUGACCAGUGGGCCCCCUGGACCCACUGUCAGCGACCCCGAGCCGGUCCACGCUGGCUAAGUGGACACGUAAAGCGCAGAGUACGUUUUCCCCUCGAACCGUUUUUCUUUUCUGUUUCUUUUAUUUAUUUAUUUUAACAGAAAGUUGACUAAAAUUUGACUGGCUAUAACUUUUUUAAUAAAACUCCAAAUGAGUUGAUUCUUUUUCCUACCUCUCUCAAAUUUCAUCUAGUUUAUUUUCAUAUUUAUUUGAAAAAAAAUUCAGACAACUUUUUGUACUGUUUUGAAACUAUGUGUUAAUUUGAAUAUUUUCAAAAAUAGGAUUUUUGGAGAGAGGAGAAAACUUUCAAAAGUUUUGGAAUGCACCCUGCCUCUCCACAACUUGAAGGCAAGCAUUCUGAACCCUGGCAUAAUAUUGUCGUGUGUUGUUUGAUACGGUUACAACACCCCUCGUCUCGGAGUUUCCGUUAUUUUAUGUGAUGAUAUGAACAUACUCAUAAGUGCAUAUUGAUGAUUCCGUGCUAUUGGAAUUUGAUACGUUGUGAUAGUAAUCACCAUCGUAUGCCUUUCACGCAUACCGGAAGGAAUCCGGGAAAGCCUCUGUCUUGGGUAGACACGGGCUUGUCUCUAGUCCUCCGUCAAGACGGUUGUGUCCGGUAUGGCAUGAUGAGGUAUGGUGAGUGGUGAUUCUGUCCGUUGGUUGAAAUAUAUAUGUUAUGCUAAUCAUGCAGGGAAUACUAAAACCUCCUGAGUCGACCAUAGAUCAAGUCUUGUUCCAGUAACCCCCAUACUUGUUUCGUACUACCACUUGUCCCUGCCAUAGGUAGGGUACGGCUCAGUAAGUUGUCAACCCCUUUCCUAGCACACACCGUACAGAGAGGGCAUGGUGGAAGAUACCAGCUGCAUCCGGUAGGCAUGCCACCUGGUCCGGGGGCAUGGGUGUUUCAGGUUGGGACCGAGAGGGGGGCACCCCUUAGAGCGCGCGAUAUAAAUUUGAUGCCAUGCUACGCGAGGUUGUAGCCUCCCCACUCAGAGUUUUGCUUAACAGGUGUCGUGGGUGAUUCCAGACACCGGUAAGUUAGGUUGGUGUGUGCGGUCAGGUGUAUUUUCAAUUGAAAGACCGUGGACGGAAUUAGUCCCGAUGGACUAAAGGAAUCCGUUACUCGUGGGUAAAGAGUACACCCUCUGCAGAGGUUAAAUCUAUUCGAAUAGCCGUGUCCAUGGGUAAGGACUACAGUCUGAGAUGGGUCAAGUGUCGGUCUUAGUGUCGGUCUUCGGAGGAGAAACUACUAAACCGAAACAUGGAUCAUGACUUGUGACUUAUGAUGAUUAUGAUUAUGAUUAUAUUGGACUAACCCUUUUUAUUACUUGAAUUAUUGAGUAUCCCUGGGACGGUUCUACCUCCUGGAUAUUCAUUGUGAUUAUUUUCUUAUAAGCCCUUUAUGUGGUGUCGCUCAGACGCCCGACUGUGGCAUGCUUGUUAUUUGUUUACUUUAUAAGCCCUUUAUGUGGUGUCGCUCAGACGCCCGACUGUGGCAUGCUUGUUAUUUGUUUACUUUAUAAGCCCUUUAUGUGGUGUCGCUCAGACGCCCGACUGUGGCAUGCNNNNNNNNNNNNNNNNNNNNNNNNNNNNNNNNNNNNNNNNNNNNNNNNNNNNNNNNNNNNNNNNNNNNNNNNNNNUGGAUAUUCAUUGUGAUUAUUUACUUUAUAAGCCCUUUAUGUGGUGUCGCUCAGACGCCCGACUGUGGCAUGCUUGUUAUUUGUUUACUUUAUAAGCCCUUUAUGUGGUGUCGCUCAGACGCCCGACUGUGGCAUGCUUGUUAUUUGUUUACUUUAUAAGCCCUUUAUGUGGUGUCGCUCAGACGCCCGACAGUGGCAUGCUUGUUAUAUGUUUACUUUAUAAGCCCUUUAUGUGGUGUCGCUCAGACGCCCGACUGUGGCAUGCUUGUUAUUUGUAUACUUUAUAAGCCNNNNNNNNNNNNNNNNNNNNNNNNNNNNNNNNUUUGUUUACUUUAUAAGCCCUUUAUGUGGUGUCGCUCAGACGCCCGACAGUGGCAUGCUUGUUAUUUGUUUACUUUAUAAGCCCUUUAUGUGGUGUCCCUCAGACGCCCGACUGUGGCAUGCUUGUUAUUUGUUUACCUUAUAAGCCCUUUAUGUGGUGUCGCACAGACGCCCGACUGUGGCAUGCUUGUUACUUAUUUUACUUUAUAAGCCCUUUAUGUGGUGUCGCUCAGACGCCCGACUGAGGCACGCUUUCUGUUAUCGUCCUUUCGAGGCGUCGCUUCAGACACCCGAUCGGUGCAUUUUUAUUUUUAUUCUCGGAUUGCAUGUUCAUGUUUUAUAUGAACAACCUGCUUGCGUGCAACAUGGGUUUUGAAUUCAUGACUGACGUUGUGAUCAUAGAAUAUUUCAGAGCAUGAUUAUCGUUUGUUAUAUUAUACCCGUGUUCAUAAUGUUUGCGAGUACAUUCAAAGUACUCACUGGCUUGUCCCUGGCUAUUGUCUUGGCCAGAUUUCUUGCUUGGAGAGGAGCAUUGCGAUGUCAGCCCCGGAACCCACGCAAUGGUGACAACAGCCUCGCGAAGAUAGGAGUUAACCUGGUCAGCUGUUCCUGUGGGAAAUGGAGUCCCAUGGCCACUGAUGAACCACAAACCGCUUCCGCCAUCAACCACUAGAAACCAGUUGUUGUACUCAUAGGCCAGAAUGGUCUUGUACUACAUAUUAUGUAUUUUGCUUGGAGUUUCUGUAUCAAGUUGGUGCCUCAUCAGCUAACAGUAAUCCUGGGGCUGGUGAGCGCAAGGGCCAUUUUCUGGGAAAUUGAUAUCCCAAAAAUCCGGUCCUAACAAGGGGCAGCAACAGAAUACGGUGGGUCAAGGUAACAAUGGUAAGCGCAAGCAUAUGGACGGCGGCUCAGAUUUUGUGGCUAACACUAAUGUGCAGAACAAUGAUCGCCGCCGCAAGGGAAGGUUCCAGUCCCAAUCUGCAGGGUCAAGAUCCAGUCUAGAGGCAAUGUUGAACCAACCCUAUCCAAAGCAUAGCCGGCCUGAUAGACCAGCAACGCACCUGUGGAAGGAUUGUAGCAUCAUGAGGGAGUACAGGAAUUACAACCUCAACCAGGACCACAAUAAUGGUAAUGGCCUGCACGGCGGAUCAGGCUCCGGCUCACACGAACCCGGCUUUGGAAGCGGCGGUUCAAGUUCCGAUUUUCAAGGACAAGGUGGUCAGGGGGGGCUUUAACAAGCAGUCCAACCAGGGGAAUCAGCAGCAGCAGUUAGGCUAUCAGAGCAAUCCGAAGCAGUUGAAUAGUGGACAGUAUCAUGUGUUCACCACGAGUCUAUGCAAACGAGACCAUAAGAUUCAUAAAAGGCGGUGAACGCAGUUGAGCCGGCGAUUCCUCGUUACUUGCGAUGGUCUGAACAUCCUAUUCUUUGGAGUCGUGAGGAUCACCCGCCCCGGGUUGACAAUCCGGGUCAGUUGGCUUUGGUGGUUGCGCCACAGGUUGGGGGGUACAAGUUUACUAAAGUACUCAUGGAUGGAGGCAGCAGCAUCAAUAUCCUUUACUAUGAUAAUUUUCGUCGUAUGAGUUUGACUGAUAAGGAUCUUAAGCCGUCUAAUACUGUCUUUCAUGGUGUGGUGCCUGGUAAGUCGGCGUAUCCAGUGGGCAAGAUAGCUUUGGAAGUGGCUUUCGGUGAUGAUAAUGAUUCCAAAGCUGAGACAUUGACCUUUCAGGUGGUUAAGAUCAAGAGCCCUUUUCAUGCCUUGUUUGGGCGGCCGGUGAAUGCCAAGUUUAUGGCAAGGCCUUGUUAUGUUUAUCUGCAACUUAAGAUGUCGGGUCAUAAGGGCACCAUCACCGUACACGGCAAUAGGAAGAUAGCCUUGGAAUGUGAAGAAGGCGUGCUGCUUAUCUUAAGUCUAUUUGUGCGACAGAAGAGUUGAAGUUUUACAAAGAUAAUGUUGACCUGACAGAUAUGACACCUUUGAAGAAACCAACCACAGAGCAUGAUCCUCUCUUGAAGUUUAAGUCGGCAGAUGACACUAAUCUUGUUGACUUUGUUCCUGGCAACUCAUCCAAGCAGUUCAGUAUCAGUGCUAAUAUGGAUCCGAAAUAGGAAAGCACGCUCAUCGAGUUCAUCUGUGAGAACCGGGACAUCUUUGCAUGGAAACCAUCUGACAUAUGCCAGGUGUACCAAGGGAACUCGCUGAGCACACUCUUAAUAUUGAUCCGAAGUUUAAACCGGUUAAGCAAUUCCUUCGUCGUUUAAAUGAAGAGAGAUGCAAGGCCAUUGGUGAAGAAGUGGCCCGGCUCUUGGCAGCUGGGUUUAUCAUUGAAGUUUUUCAUUCUGAGUGGUUGACCAACCCGGGGCUGGUGCUUAAGAAGAAUGGCACUUGGCGGAUGUGUGUGGAUUACACAGACCUUAACAAGGCAUGUCCAGCUGAUCCUUUUGCUCUCCCCCGUAUUGAUCAGAUUAUUGAUGCUAUGGCGGGUUGUGAGCAUUUGAGUUUUUUGGAUGCUUACUCUGGUUAUCAUCAGAUCAAGAUGGAAGUUAAGGACCAAGAGAAGACAACUUUCAUCACUCCCUUUGGAGCCUUCUACUAUGUGUCUAUGCCUUUUGGGCUCAAGAGUGCCCAGGCGACUUAUCAACGAUGUGUUCAGAAUUACCUCCAUGACCAGAUUGGGCGCAAUGUUUAUGCUUAUGUGGAUGAUAUUGUUGUGGAAUCCAGGAAGAAAGAGACUUUGAUAGAUGAUUUCAAAGAGACCUUUGACAAUUUCCGGGUCUACAAUAUGAUGCUUAACCCGGCCAAGUGUGUUUUCGGUGUGCCAGCAGGCAAGCUUUUGGGUUUUUUGGUUUCUGAAAGGGGCAUUGAAGCUAACCCGGAGAAAAUCAAGUCUAUCACUUCCUUGGCUAAGCCGGCGUGUAUUAAUGAUGUCCAGCGUCUGGCGGGUUGUAUUGCGGCCUUAAGCCGGUUCAUAAGCCGAUUGGGCGAAAAAGCUAUCCCUCUGUACCAGAUGAUGAAGAAAAUAGAUCACUUUGUGUGGAGUGAUGCUGCUGAUCAGGCAUUUGAGGCCUUGAAAAAAUGGUUAGCUGAGCCGCCAAUCCUUGCAGCUCCUAUUGACAAGGAGCCCUUAUUGUUAUAUGUGUCUGCUAAUAGCUGAGCCGUAACUGUAGCAAUUGUGGUGGAACGGAAAGAGGCAGGCAAGGAAUAUCCGGUUCAGCGGCCGGUUUAUUAUAUCAGUGAGGUCCUCAUUGAAUCCAAGCAGAGUAUCCACAUUGGCAGAAACUGGUGUAUGGAGUGCUCACGGCUAGUCGUAAGCUGAUGCAAUAUUUCUUUGGUCAUCCCAUCACUGUGGUCAGUUCUGCUCCCUUGGGGGAUAUUAUUCAAAACAGAGAAGCCACUGGUCGGGUAGCCAAGUGGGCCAUUGAGCUUGGGCCCCAUGGUUUGAAGUUAUGCCUCAGACAGCUAUCAAGUCUCAAGCACUUGUGGAUUUUAUCAAUGACUGAACCGAGCUGCAGAUGCCUAUGGAGAAGCCAGAUAGCACAUAUUGGACUAUUCACUUUGACGGAUCCAGGUAGUUGGAAUGCUCGGGGGCCAGAGUUAUUUUGACUUCCCUACGAGGUGAUAAAUUUUGUUAUGUUUUAAGGUUGAUGUUCCCUUGUACUAAUAAUGCAGCUGAGUAUGAGGCCUUGCUCCAUGGUCUUCGGAUGGCUAAAGAGAUGAAUCUAAGCUAGGUGAGGUGUUUUGGUGACUCAGAUUUGGUGGCUCAGCAAGCUUCAUGCACUUGGGAUUCUAAAGAUCCACUCAUGGCGGCUUACCGCCGAGAGGUUGAUGCUAUUGCUGGUCAUUUCAAAGGUUAUCAAGUGGAACAUGUUGAUCGCAGGAAAAAUGAGGCGACUGAUGCUUUAAGCCGGCUAGGGUCUCAGCGUAAGCCGGUACCACCCAAUGUUUUCCUUGAUAUUCUGCAUAACCCUUCAGUCAAAUUGCCUUCGGAGGAAGAUCUUGCUGUUCCUGACCCGGAGGCGCAGUUUGUGGCGACUCUUCAUGCUAUUCCUGAUUGGACAAUUCCAUAUUUGGCUUAUAUGACCCGGGGCGAGUUACCUGAAGAUGAAACUUCGGCCAGGCAGAUAACCUGGCGGUCUAAAUCAAUGACUAUUGUCAAUGGGGAAUUGCACCGAUGCAGUGUCACAGGGGUGUUUCAACAUUGUGUUUCUCCUAAUGAAGGCCGUGAGAUUCUAUGGGAGAUUAAUGAAGGAGAUUGUGGUCAUCAUGCCGGCUCUAAGUCUCUCGUGGCCAAGGCUUUUCGUCAUGGGUUUUACUGGCUGACGGCUCAUGCUGAUGCAGAAGAUUUGGUCAGUAAAUGUGAUGGUUGUUAGAAAUUUUCAAGACGAGCUCAUGUGCCGGCUCAAGAAUUGAGGAUGAUUCCAAUUACUUGGCAGUUUGCAGUCUGGGGGCUAGAUAUGCACUACUGCAGGUUGCUGUUAACGUGACACUACAAUCAGAGACCCUUUGACGAAAGUGUGUGCGAUGCCAUAAUCGCAAACGAUGGUGUAAAAAACCGUCAAAAAAGGUGCAAAAUGUUUGCGAUGGAGGAUGCAUCAAACACGGUUCAGAUUAUAGUUGCGUGUGCGAUGCUGGGCAUACGGUUCAGUUCAGUUAACUGUUUGCGAUGUGGCAAUACAAAAGAAACGGGCAGCCAGAUGAAGGCGUGUGCGAUAUACAGCUUACGGUUCACUCGGAUGAACCGUUUGUGAUUAGGCAACACAAAAGAAACGGUCAGCCAGAUCAAGGUGUGUGCGAUAUACGGCAUGCGGUUCACUCGGAUGAACUGUUUGUGUUGAGACAAGAGAACAGAAACGGUUCAAUAUAUCAAGAUGUGUGUGAUACGCGGCAAAUAGGUCUGUAUUUAGAAAUGUGUGCAAAGACCAAUAAUAACACAGACGAUUGCUUCUAAUAAGAAGUAUGUGAUAUGCUCUAUCUACACAACAUCUAUUGGCCAUUGGGCGACGAGCGUUCAUCCAGGUAUGCCAUAAGUAUGGAAGAGGGCAUCCUAUAUCAGCAAGGACUAGCCGUUCCACCAGUAGCUCAUCUAAGAGAACUCUCAAGUUAACUGUGCUCAGGUUGGAGUAGGCAUGAGAUGGGUGACCGGAUGGGAAGCUGUCUUGAUGUUAAUCCCACUGAUGGGAUGUAUCUUAAAUGUCUAUUUUGAUUUUUCUUUGUUUUUUAACACAUGUUAAAGAAGGUCUACCGCAUUACUUUUUGACAAUGUGCGAUUGAGGGCAUACGCUUCAGAAGGAUUAACUGUUUGCGAUUAGGCAACAGAACAGAAAUGCCACGUACGCGGCCGAGAAAGCGUACCCACGUUACUCCGUCCGGGAAUAGUGCUGCACUUAGAAAUUAUAGAACCGUCAAUAAAUUUUGAGCCUGCGUCCCGUCACAUUCCAAAUUGCAAACCUGUUCACACCGAUCAAAACCUAAACGGUUUCCCACUUAGGAGCGUAUUAGUACUCGGUUAUAAAUACUACUACUCCAAGAUGACUGCACAUUCCUCCUCAACUCCUCAUCCACAAAAACAAACAAGUCAUUCAUCAUCAUUCCCUUGCGCGUGCCAUGGCCAGCGUGAGUUCUGGGUCGAGAGAUUGCCACUAGAGAGAGGCGAGCAUUGAAGCGGAAGCGCGCGAGAUGUCCCGCCUUGCCGCGAAAGCAGCUGACAUGUCCCGACGCGCGGCCGUAGUAGCAGAGAGGUCCCGCCGCACUGCCGGAGCAGCACGGAGGUCCCGCCGCACCGUCCAUGUAGCAGACUGGUCCGGCCGUGCUGAGGAAGCAGAAGAGAUGUCCCGCCGUGCCGCAAAUGCAGGAGAGAUGUCCUCCCGCGCCGCGGCGGCCUGGGAAAAUGUCUCGCGAGCAGGCGAGGACUGUUACAGGCGCAUGCAUGCCAUCGUCCUUAGCCAGAUGGAUCAGAUCUCUGGUUGGGCGAGGUUGCAGAUCUCCGGCUGGGCGAGGCCAUCCGGCAACUAAAUGAGAGCAAUGCGAAGCUCUCGGCCGAGCGCGACCAGAUGAGGGCGAAGAUCGUCUGAAGUGUGGAGCAGCAGGAGGAGACCACUGCCUUGUUGAAGAGGACCGCCGUCAUCGUCAAGAAACUUAUGGACGAGAAUGCCAUGCUGCGCAUCGAGGGCAGAAGGCUGGUGGUGGAAUCCGUGGAUGCUCUCAAGCAGCAUCUUGAGGACAAGAAAGAGCUCAUCGCCGCUCGCCGCGGAGACUAGUUCCCGCGGCCUGCAGCAACAUAGAGAUCAUCGAGCCAGAUCGUUGUCUUCCUUCUUCUUUUGCCCUUGUGUAUUUCAGGCGUUGCCGCAUGUGGCUUUUUUUAAUUAUGUUCCUAAAUAUGUAAGACAAUUAUUAUCCACUGUCAUCGUCCUUAUAUUCAUCAUGCUUGCUAUAAGUCGCAGUCGAUGCUAUAUAGGUCCUUCAGAUCUUACAUCAAGAUCCGUGCAAAACUUUCUUUUCAGAUUUUCAUUUUUCUCUCUUAAAUCUCAGUCCAGUGAGACAUAUAGCCACGCCGUAGAAUAGGGGCUCGGGCGCCAUUAAUGGAGACGUUGGGAGGGAGGUGCGCGGCGGGUAGUGGUCAAAGGGCUCUCCUCCCGAUGAGCACGCGCAGGGGUCUGAUCGCACGCCUCCCGUACUCCAAUAGCUACCCCGCACGGCACCUCCCCACCAAUAAAAAAGGGGACGCGUGGCGGCACGUAAUUGGUAAGUAGAACGCCCACGGUUUCAAUAAUACUUGUGUUUCCGAUUUGUAACGUGACAUCACUUGUUCCAAAAUGACUUUGUUGAUUAUUAGUGUGUGCGCCUUCGCAAAUCGGACAAAAAAAUUACCACAGCAUGAUGGUGCCAUGUCAUGACACCAUGCCAAGUUUCAUGAUUUUCAGGCGUGUUUUGGAUUCAUAGGAAUUAAAAAACUAAGUUUCUCAAUCUUUCCGGUCGAGCCACAAUGCCCAGAUGUUUGAAUUUCAUUACCUUUUCUUGCAUGGGACCUAGAAAUUCACCCAAAGACACACGUGUGAUUUUUCAAACAACUUUGGUGCACUUGAGCCUGUGCUUGUAGUUCAAAUUUGAAUUAUGCACAUUAAAUGCGCAGAAACUCAAUUAAUGUAUAAAAAAGGCCAAACGAACCCGGCCAAAAAAUUUACCGCAACAUGUUGAUGCCAUGUCAUGACACCAUGCCAUGUUUCAUGAUUUUCAGGCGUUUUUUGGAUUUACAGGAAUAAAAAACUAAGUUUCUCAAACUUUCCGGCCGAGCCACGACGCCGAGACAUUUGAAUUUCAUUCCCAUUUCUUGCAUGGGACCUAUAAAUUCACCCAAGGACACACAUGUGAUUUUUGACCAACAUUGGUGCACUGGAGCAUGUGCUUGUAGUUCAAAUUUGAAUUAUGCACAUUAAAUGCGCAGAAACUCAAUUAAUGUAUAAAAAAGGCCAAACGAACCCGGAAUAAUUCAAAAAUUUAGCACAAUACUUCUAUUUGGUCUAAUAUGCAUGUGUAAAAAAAUUAAGGCGGGAGAAGGCAGUGUACGCAUCUCGUUUCGCACACGGAGGUGACACGUUCCCUCUCGGAACCACGAGCCUUCUUGAGGGAAGCUCCGGUUUGCAAGAAGCUUACACCAAAGCUUGUCCCAAUUCGGCCAAAAAAAUUACCGCAACAUGUUGGUGCCAUGUCAUGACACCAUGCCAAGUUUCAUGAUUUUCAGACGUGUUUUGGAUUUACUAGAAUUAAAAAACCAAGUUUCUCAAUCUUUCCGGCCGAGCCACGACGCCCAGAUGUUUGAAUUUCAUUCACAUUUCUUGCAUCGGACCUAUAAAUUCACCCAAAGACACACAUGUGAUUUUUCAACCAACUUUGGUGAACUGGAUCAUUUGCUUGUAGUUCAAAUUUGAAUUAUGCACAUUAAAUGCCCAGAAACUCAAUUAAUGUAUAAAAACGGUCAAACGAACCCAGAAUAAUUCCAAAAUUUAGCACGAAACUUCUGUUUGGUCUAUUCUGCCAGUGUACAAAAAUUAAGGUGGGAGAAGGGAGUGCAUGUAUGUCGUUUCGCACCCGGAGGUGAGACGUUCCCUCUCGGAAUCACGAGCCUUCUUGAGGGAAGCUCCGGUUUGCAAGAAGCUUACACCAAAGCUUGUCCCAAUUCGGGCAAAAAAAUUACCACAACAUGUUGGUGCCAUGUCAUGACACCAUGCCAAGUUUCAUGAUUUUCAGGCGUGUUUUGGAUUUACAGGAAUUAAAAAACCAAGUUUCUCAAUCUUUCCGGCUGAGCCACGACGCCCAGACACUGGUGCGCGUCGGUGCUAAACAAACGGUUUAAAACCCCUUUCCGCGAUAGCACUUGGAACCGUCACCAAGUGAGUGUGGGCGAUAGGGGGGUCCUUCCCACACGACCCAGAAACCGUCGGGGAUAGGGCCCCUACAGUACUCCUACUCAUUUCUGCUCACAUUGCCAUCACAAUCAGUAUUCUUUGGUGCUACGUUUACGAUGCGCGACCCAUCACAAACGGUUCACUAUUAUAGAACAUGUAUGAUGCGCGGCCCAUCACAAACGGUUCACUGUUAAGAAGAUUAGAUAAUCGUCGUACGAGUGUCGGACAGGAUUACGAAACGUCGGACCAUCGUAACAUCGUCGUACACGACAACUAUCGCACACGCUAUUCUGUGGUGCAACAUUUACGAUGCAUACUUCAUCAAAAAUAGUUCAUGGUUGCGAAUCGUGUACGAUAAGGCAACUAACACAAAUGUUUAGUUUGCCCGCACUGUUUGUGAUAUUGUCUGACAUCGCACACGCUUUGCAAACGGCAACUCUGUGCAUGCUUGCACACGUUUCCUCUCUAUGAACCGUCCCGGAUUAUGGUGCAUAUCGCAAACGUUUGUGUUUUAUCAACCGUGUGUACGUGCCGUAACAACCUGGAGAGCGUAAUUUCACCGGAAUUUAAUUGGUGCUUUUCCAAAUUGUACCGGAUUUAGAUUUGAAUUUGAAUGUAUGCUACAGCUUUAUUCAUAUCCGCCAGGUUCAAACAACCAAUGCAUUUUUCGAUUCAUAGGUACAUAUGUUCAAGAAUUACAUAAGAACCAAAUAAAGAAUGAUGAACCACAGUUGUAUACUUGUACUAUUAAAGACGGUAAAGAAAGAGGCGAAAUAUAUUCUGGUUGCUGAACAAGGUGAAGCGAAAUGCCCAUAUUGUGCCCUCCUCCAUGCAGAAGGCACGCACGACUCUAGUCCAACCCCUUGUGAUGGCCGACCGCCCAUCCUUCACGGUCUUCAAGAAAAUAUCUAGAUAAUCAUCGUGUUCUGGUAGAAAUACUUUAACCUUUGCAUGCCCACCAAUCAUGUAGUUUGAGAGGUAAACUUGAGUAAACUGGUUUGGCAACCACUGCAAAGGAAUAAGAUUUCAGACAUUGUCAUCUAACACAACUCAUUAUGGGCAGUAAAAACAAGGCUGCAGACUUCUUACUUACCAUCCUGUAGUUCGCUGUUGUCUUGGAUAAAGUGUAAACAAAUAGUUUAAUUGCCAUCUUUGGACCCAUUUUACUAACAAUCUUUAUCAGCUUCCUCACUUGAUGCUGGUUCAUCGAUAUCUCAUUGCCCCAUACGCAGAAAGGGUCGAAACGCAGAUCUUUACCAAUGACAUAUGUACCUAAAAGCACCAAGUUAAUAUUAGAAUCUAAACAGCAAUUGUACAAUGAUGUAGUACAACACUCUUUUAUAAUAUGUCUAUAUACAUCCGUAUGUGGUAGUCCAUUUGAAAUCUCUAAAAAGACAAAUAUUUAGGAAUGGAGGGAGUAUCUUAUAACAUCCAAUAUACUCACAUAUUAGAUGAAUUAACAUCUUAUAUUAUGGGCCGGAAGGAGUUUAGUUCAUUUUUAAAAAUUAUUCGCUGCUGUAUCCACGGGUUACAGUUAGUUUGAGCUAGUUCGGGCUCAAAUAGCCCUAAAGUAUUUCUAAACAUGAGGGCUAGUUUGAGCUAGUUGCAUCUAUAACCCACCCAAAAAACUAGUAUCCAACCCAAGAGGUGCUAAUUGGAGCUAGUUCUCCUAGUGCAUUUAUUGUCAAUCUAACCCUGCCAUCCAAACAACUCUUUGGAUGGAGUUAGUUCAGGGUUAGUAAUGAGCUAGAAACUAACUCUAACCUCUAGCUAAGUUGAGUAUCCAAACAGGGCUGCGUUGUUGCUGUUGCUGCUGUUGCUCUUCUACGUAUAUCUAGACAUCAUUAGAACAUUAAUGUAACACUCUUCCUUGUUGCUAUGUAGCCUAGGAUUGCAUAUUUAGACAUUAAGUAGAGUGCAUGUUGCUAUGUAGCCUCAGAUAUAUUACAUAUGGCCCUAGUUAACCUAAGGAAAAAUGGGUUGCAGAUAUAUUCAGAUGAAAGUCCGAUUCACUGAUUAGUCCCUUAUCAGCCGCCGGCCUAUAUGGUACCAGCUACGGAUAUCCUGAACAGUGAGCAGAUAUAAGCCAUGGGAUGAAACUAACCUCAAUGGAAAACAGCAGUCGUUCCCAAAAUUUUCAUGUGUAGGUACAUCAAGAAGCAUGUUAAGCACAACAGACUAAACAUCAACCAAAAUUACACAUCGCAGACAAAAUAAUCUCCAAAAGAUAGCUUCAGUGUGCAGGUUUAAGCACGCUAGUAAAGCAAAACAAGUGGAAAGUGUGCUAACUGCAACAGGCCUAACAUUUAGCAACAAGCAAACAUGGUCAUUCAAACUGGCAUUGUGUCGUUCUAAGUACACUGGUUAUGGUUAAAUAAAAAUGGAAGGCAUGUUAACUACAAGAUGCAGCAACCAAAUGUAGUCAUUCAUAGUGGUAUUGUUAAAACUGGUACUGAUGAAAUUGAACUGCACAGUUCAUACUUGCACAUAUAGAACAUCACAUUGUGAAUAACUGGAAUAAACAAGGCAUACUACGAACAACCAAAGAUAGCAUUUGAAACUGAACAUAUGCUAAUUACAAACAACCGAACAAUCAAAAAACUUUAAAAUAGGCAUAUGCUAGCUAUAACAGGCUUAACAGUAAGCAAAUAUAUGCAUUCCUAUCGGUAUGUUUAAAACUGGAUUGAUGAAAUGUACUACACAGUAAAUAAUUGCACAUAUAGAGCAUCACAUUGUGAACAACUAAAAUAAAGAAUCAUGGGUUUCCUCACUUGUCAUAGAUGGGCUCGUUCCCAUGGGAAGAGCACGGACCCUGGAUGCGCUCCAUGUUGUCGCAGAUGGGCUCCUUCCCCUUAGAAGAGCAGAUGGGCUCUUUCCCCUUGGAAGAGCCAGAGAGGGUACCCUCCUCGUGGUCGCCAUCGAUGAGGUUUGACUUGGAAGCUGUGGAUCCCAAGCCAGCGUCGUAGAACGUGUCCUUCAGAAAUGACAAAAGGGGCUCGAUGGCGAUGUAGAACGGCAAAUUGUUGACAACGAGCCAGAGGAGAUCAGCGGCGGGGCCAUGGAUGAGGUCGAUGGCGGUUGAACCCGAGGGGUUGGGGUGGGCCACUUAACGUGUGACACAGCUCGCCUCAGGGCGUCGCUGUCGAUGACCUCAAUGUCGUAGCCGGCGGAUGAGACAUGCCCACAUACUCUAGCCUGCUGCUUGAGUGUCUGCCGCCAGUAAUGGUCGUCAGCUUCCUCGGCGACAUCGGGCGAAGAGACCGCUAUACACCUCUUUUGGGCCAGUCGCUCCUCGAGCUCCACGGGAAGCGUAGCCGGGCUUAGGCUGCGACGCUCUGGAGUGGGGGAUGGGGAUCUGUGGGAAAGGGGGCAUUCGGCAGGCGUCAUCUAAGAAACUCAGGGCGGCCUGGGUAUGGAGAUCGGUGGGUAAGCUGCAUGGGCAAAUUGGCAGAUGUUGACAAUGGAGGCCUUGCGGCGGCGGGGACUUUGCUAGGGUUUCGAGCGAGGGAGGGUGUGUGUGUGCGCGCAUGCCCGAGGAGGUUUUGGUGUGUGUGUGGAGGGGGGCACGGGGUGUUUGAGGAAAUGACGCGGGUACAGAAAAUUUUACUACGCGGGAGUCAAACGCGGGAGUGAAAUGCCGGGCUAUUGAAAUUUUAAUGAUAGUGCAUCGCACACGGUACGGAGAUAACAACCGUGUGUUAUGAAAAAGAAAAACCCUCGAGGCAGGCAGAUAUUUUCGAUGCAGGCGGGAUUGGGAACAAGAAUCAUCGCACACGGUCCGGAGAUAACAACCGUGUGUUAUGAAACAGAAAAACCCUCGAAGCAGGCAGAUAUUUUUGAGAGGGGGAGCCUCGUGGAGCCCAAUGUACUGUGCGGAUGUGUGCGUGAUAGGUGCACCGGUGUGGCACACGGUUAGUUUGAGUGAACCGUGUCUGUUGUGUCAUCCGACUUGUCUAAUGUUCAUAAAUUUGGAGAAAAAUGACGCGAGAGAGGGUCAGAACACGAACACACUUGCAUGUAGACCAAAUUUAUGUAUCAAAAGGGUGGUUUGAUUUUCAAAUACCAAAUGCAACUUCGAUGUGGCACCUCUCUCGCAAAGCGCACGGUAUUGCUUGCCCCCCCUCGUGUCGGCAUGAAGGGAAUCCUAAGCUAUGAAUGCAUGCCCCCUCCCCCUCAACCGAGGUUCACCUAGCAAAGUGCGAAGUAGCUAGCAGCCCCCCUCCUNNNNNNNNNNNNNNNNNNNNNNNNNNNNNNNNNNNNNNNNNNNNNNNNNNNNNNNNNNNNNNNNNNNNNNNNNNNNNNNNNNNNNNNNNNNNNNNNNNNNNNNNNNNNNNNNNNNNNNNNNNNNNNNNNNNNNNNNNNNNNNNNNNNNNNNNNNNNNNNNNNNNNNNNNNNNNNNNNNNNNNNNNNNNNNNNNNNNNNNNNNNNNNNNNNNNNNNNNNNNNNNNNNNNNNNNNNNNNNNNNNNNNNNNNNNNNNNNNNNNNNNNNNNNNNNNNNNNNNNNNNNNNNNNNNNNNNNNNNNNNNNNNNNNNNNNNNNNNNNNNNNNNNNNNNNNNNNNNNNNNNNNNNNNNNNNNNNNNNNNNNNNNNNNNNNNNNNNNNNNNNNNNNNNNNNNNNNNNNNNNNNNNNNNNNNNNNNNNNNNNNNNNNNNNNNNNNNNNNNNNNNNNNNNNNNNNNNNNNNNNNNNNNNNNNNNNNNNNNNNNNNNNNNNNNNNNNNNNNNNNNNNNNNNNNNNNNNNNNNNNNNNNNNNNNNNNNNNNNNNNNNNNNNNNNNNNNNNNNNNNNNNNNNNNNNNNNNNNNNNNNNNNNNNNNNNNNNNNNNNNNNNNNNNNNNNNNNNNNNNNNNNNNNNNNNNNNNNNNNNNNNNNNNNNNNNNNNNNNNNNNNNNNNNNNNNNNNNNNNNNNNNNNNNNNNNNNNNNNNNNNNNNNNNNNNNNNNNNNNNNNNNNNNNNNNNNNNNNNNNNNNNNNNNNNNNNNNNNNNNNNNNNNNNNNNNNNNNNNNNNNNNNNNNNNNNNNNNNNNNNNNNNNNNNNNNNNNNNNNNNNNNNNNNNNNNNNNNNNNNNNNNNNNNNNCACUCUUUCAGUCGGCGGGCCAGAGAGGCAUAUAUCUCACCAAGAUGGAUCGUAAAACGGACCAAGAAUAAUCCACCUUGGUCGUACAACCUCUCUCUUGUUGUUGGUCAAAGUGAUGACCGUCCAUGCGACCCCGGAGAUGGGCUAGCUCGCAAAUAAUCACACAAGUAGCUAGUCCCCGAAGACAACCACUGCAUGCGUGUGGCCCAAACAUAUGUAUGGAGAGGUGUGUUUUUGAGUAACAAUGAACAACUUUGAUGUGGCACCGUGAUUUUGAACUAGAAAUCCCCACACUGAGUGAGGGUUAGGUUGACGAUGCAUAUGUAUGUUACACCACACUUCAAGCCAACGACGGGGAUUCAUAUAUGCAUGCAUGCGUCCAUAGUAUAUGCGCUCAAACUUAGUUAGGUCUGAAUCUCACCAUGACCUAUAUUACGAUAACACUAACCAAAUGAAGAAUCCGCCAUGGUAACCUAUCUUGUUGUUGGUCAAGGUGAUCAUGGAUGUCCACGCGGGCCCACGAAUAUAUAGGCUUGUCGCCGAUAACCAUGCAAGGGAGUGUAUCGUUCGAAGGCAACCACUACAUGCAUAUGUAUGGAGGUGAUGCGUUCAUGCAUGUUUGAAUACACAACAUUGAUCUGGUGCGUGUGUCAAAAAUCCUAAACUAGCUCCCCACACAGAGCGAGACCGGUUCAUGAUGGUGCCGUUGGGAGGGAUUCAUGCGUACACAUGCAUAUGUGUGUGCUCAAAGUGUAUCAUGCAUGUCAACCCAGAGCAAAAAUAAUAAUCCCCUCCUAAGUCAAAUUAACCUCUCUUGUUGUCAGGCAAAAAGAAGUGAUGGACCAAUGAUACGUCUCCAACGUAUCUAUAAUUUUUUAUUGUUCCAUGCUAUAUUAUAUUCUGUUUUGGACAUUAAUGGGAUUUAUUAUACACUUUUAUAUUAUUUUUGGGACUAACCUAUUAACCGGAGGCCCAGCCCAGAAUUGUCGUUUUUUUUCCUAUUUCAGAGUUUCGCAGAAAAAGAAUAUCAAACGGAGUCCAAACGGAAUGAAACCUUCGGGAACGUGAUUUUCGGAACGAACGUGAUCCAGAGGACUUGGACCCUACGUCAAGACAUCAACCAGGAAGGCACGAGGUAGGGGGGCGCACCUACCCCCCUGGGCGCGCCCUCCACCCUCGUGGGCCCCAUGUUGCUCCACCGACAUACUUCUUCCUCCUAUAUAUACCUACGUACCCCCAAACUACCAGCUACGGAGCCAAAAACCUAAUUCCACUGCCUCAACCUUCUGUACCCGUGAGAUCCCAUCUUGGGGCCUUUUCCGGAGCUCCGCCGGAGGGGGCAUCGAUCACGGAGGGCUUCUACAUCAACACCAUAGCCUCUCCAAUGAUGUGUGAGUAGUUUACCUCAGACCUUCGGGUCCAUAGUUAUUAGCUAGAUGGAUUCUUCUCUCUUUUUGGAUCUCAAUACAAUGUUCUUCCCCUCUCUUGUGGAGAUCUAUUCGAUGUAAUCUUCUUUUGCGGUGUGUUUGUUGAGACCGAUGAAUUGUGGGUUUAUGAUCAAGUUUAUCGAUGAACAAUAUUUGAAUCUUCUCUGAAUACUUUUAUUUAUGAUUGCUUAUCUUUGCAAGUCUCUUCGAAUUAUCAGUUUGGUUUGGCCUACUAGAUUGAUCUUUCUUGCAAUGGGAGAAGUGCUUAGCUUUGGGUUCAAUCUUGCGGUGUCCUUUCCCAGUGACAGUAGGGGUAGUAAGGCACGUAUUGUAUUGUUGCCAUCGAGGAUAACAAGAUGGGGUUUAUAUCAUAUUGCAUGAGUUUAUCCCUCUACAUCAUGUCAUCUUACUUAAAGCGUUACUCUGUUCUUAUGAACUUAAUACUCUAGAUGCAUGCUGGAUAGCGGUCGAUGUGUGGAGUAAUAGUAGUAGAUGCAGGCUGGAGUCGGUCUAUUAUCAGUUUGAACCUCUCUGAUCCAUGUUCAGCCCAUCAGUGCGAGCGUUUGCACCUGAUGAGCUGAAUUUCAUUUCUAAUAUCAGUUUGAACCUUGUAAUCUUUGAAUUUGAGCCAUAUAACUCUGAAAUUUGAACCUUGUAACAUUUCGAGCUUUUGUGAUACAAUCAUUGAAAUGGCAUCGUAUGAGACUUGUAUAUUGCUAGCACUAUUUUGACCUUAAUAUGCAAUGGUCUUAGAUUUUAUUAACCAUUCUCGAAUCAGUUUACCUUGUCGAUCUCACAGCACACGAUCUGUAUAGCUAACUCGACUGCGAUCUUCGACAUUAUUGCACACAGUUGGUUUCUUCCACCGUGUGCACUGCAGAGCGCAGAAUAAAUUAUUGCACUCGAGUGUCCAUCAUCAGCCUUCUGUGUAACUUUGACCUCAUCACCCAAUGGUAAACUUAUGACCGAAGUCAUUCCACACACUUCGUUUUUACAAAGCUUUUUGCCAAUAAACGCCCACAAUUUGUCCCUCUUCUAGCCGACGUGUGGCCAAACUAGCCGGGCGGUAAGCUUGCGCGGUAAACAGCGCGGUAGCGCGGGAACAGGCUCACCGACGAUAUUUCGCGCCUCUUCGAGCCCACGCCUAGGGUGCGGUGUUGUCAAGCGUGCACUGGAUUCUGGAAUCCUUCGCUAUGAACGCCGUGACAAGACGUGACGAUUACAGGCCGUCCGGCCCCCAUUUAUUACAGCGGCCAUUUAACCUACCCUUGUGUCUCUUCAACCUUUCGAUCGCGCCCCACCAUUGCAAGAAGCACACCCACCACGAGAAAUUCUUAGAGGGUAUCCUGCGCGGCUCCAGUGGCGCUCCGAGCGGUUGCCGACGACAAGCAGCAGUUCACUAUGCAUGCCGUGGUGGACAACCACAGAAGGUUCAUGGACCUCUCGGUGGUGUACACCAAUGAUCCGGUCUGGGUGGAGCACUCCAUCCACAUCAUGGAGCUGUUGCUUGCCGAGGAGAAGUACAAGGUGGUCGGGUUCGACCUCGAGUACACCCACGCUCGUGCCGGGUCUCGUCCCAAGGUCGCCGUCGCCCAGGUGUGCGUGCGCCACCACGUCCUCAUCUACCACUACUUCCUGGCCAGAAGGCCUUGCGAGCGUUUCGCCAAGUUUGUCAACAGCCCCCACUACAUGUUCGCUGCGGUGGACAUCACCAACGAUGUAAAGGCGCUCGAGAGUUUGGGCAUCGCCUGCCAGAAUCUUGUCGACAUCCAGGGCCAAUACAAGAUCUGGGGCAGCAAGGAGCAUGAGAAGGAAUCACUGGUUCACCUCGCCGAGGCCAUCAUCGACCCCUACUAUAGAGACAUGAAGGAUGCGUUAACAAGGACAAGCGUGCCUGGCACUCGGCCUGGAUGGAGAAACUCGAGAAAGCUCACGUCGUGUACGCGGCCAAGGAGGCGUACACGAGCUACGACAUGUACAGGCGGAUCGUUGACAUGAGGAAGUGCCUCCUUCCCCAAAACGACCAGGGAUCCAGCCGGAAGCAGAGCAAUGGCAAGCGUCGUCGCAACAAUAAGUAGAUGAUUAGAUCCUCGUUUCUCCUACUUUAGUAUGCAUGUAAUUGCUUACUUUGGUGUGUGAUCUUGCAUACCAUUUCUUUUGUGUUGCCUAAUCACAAACAGUUCAUCCGAGUGAACCGUAUGAUGUACAUCGCACACACCUUCAUCUGUCUGCCCUUUCCUUUCUUCCUCCUCAUCGCAAACGGUUGAUUGAAUUGACCCGUAUGCCCUGCAUCGCACACGCAACUAAAAUCUGAACCGUGUUUGAUGCAUCCUCCAUCGCAAACGUUGUGCACCUUUUUUGACGGUUAUUUUACACCACCGUUUGCGAUUAUGGCAUUGCACACAGUUUCGUCGAAGGGUCUCUCAUCAUAGUGUCGCGUUAGCAACAUCCUGCAGUAGUGAGAUGUUUGAAUUUCAUUCCCAUUUCUUGCAUGGGACCUCUAAAUUCACCCAAAGACACACAUGUGAUUUUUCAACCAACUUUGGUGCACUGGAUCAUGUGCUUGUAGUUCAAAUUUGAAUUAUGCACAUUAAAUGCCCAGAAACUCAAUUAAUGUAUAAAAAUGCCAAACGAACCCGGAAUAAUUCCAAAAUUUAGCACGAUACUUCUAUUUGGUCUAUUCUGCCAGUGUACAAAAAUUAAAUUGGGAGAAGGCAGUGUACGUAUGUCGUUUCGCACACGGAGGUGACACGUUCCCUCUCGAAACCACGAGCCUUCUUGAGGGAAGCUCCGGUUUGCAAGAAGCUUACACCAAAGCUUGUCCCGAUUCGGCCAAAAAAAUUACCGCAGCAUGUUGGUGCCAUGUCAUGACACCAUGCCAAGUUUCAAGAUUUUCAGGCGUGUUUUGGAUUUAAAGGAAUUAAAAACCAAGUUUCUCAAUAUUUCCGGCCGAGCCACGACGCCCAGAUGUUUGAAUUUCAUUCCCAUUUCUUGCAUGGGACCUAUAAUUCACCCAAAGACACACAUGUGAAUUUUCAACAAACUUUGGUGCAUUAGACCACGUGCUUGUAGUUCAAAUUUGAAUUAUGCACAUUAAAUGCCCAGAAACUCAAUUAAUGCAUAAAAAUGCCAAACAAACCCGGAAUAAUUCCAAAUUUAAACACGACACUCAUGUACUAGUUGCAUGUUCAUUGUACGUAAAUGUUCUAGCAAUUCAAACACCAUCCUUUCCCUCCGUAACACCAUUUUGUCUUUCUAAACAUGAUGAAAAAAUCAGGUAUACCACAAACAGUUUACUAGAAAGAAUCGUGUGGGAUGCGAUAUAAAAUAUCUUGGCGCACCGUCUUGUCUGGCUUACGCAGGAAGCUUCAUCGUCUACAGUCCACCGCCCCCGCUUGAACCACACUUGCGCGCCAGUUUCUCGCGGCACCGAGCGAAAUUUUUUUGCCUCCGCGGAAAUAUCUAUCUCCCCGCCCCCUCCCUCCUACCAAAAGCCACAUUUCCACUAUUCCUCCUUGCUUUUCCAAGUUCAAACCUUCACUGUUGCUUACUGGCAGCUCAGCCUCCUCGCCGGCGACCCUUCUUCUUGCAGCGCCGCCUCCUUGCUGGUUACCCUUCUUCUUGCAGCGCCGGCGACCCUUCUUCUUGCAGCGCCGCCUCCUCGCCGGCGACCCUUCUUCUUGUUGCGCGGCCUCCUCGCCGCCGACCCUUCUUCUUGCUGCGCGGCCUCGUCGAUAUGGUCAGGUAAUCCACACCCCACCCACACCAUCCUCCUCCUUUCCCAUCCCACAUGCCCCGACCGACGGCGCGACACCUUCCACCAAAAUCACUGCCCCUUCCUCCAAUAAGCGCCGCCCACAGCCAUUUUGCACGCAGUAUAACGUGGAGCUCAGUAGCAUGCGGCCGCACACGCGCACGAGGUCGCUAUAGCUUCCAUGCGUGUCGACCGUCAGAUCUUGGAGGAGCACCUCGUCUUCGAGGCCAUCGUCGACACCGCCACACGGUUGUCUACUUUAAAAUAUAGUUCGUGUUGUUUUCUCGAGGCCACUGCCAGUGCCUUCUAGUAAUUUGUCCUCUGUAAUGUUAAUAUGCAAUCUGAUGUUCAGUUAACAGUUUGGUCCUCUAAAAUGUAAUGUUCGGUUAACACUUUAGUCCAACAAUUGCUACAUUUCGUAGUACUGUUCUCAAGCAUUCUUUGUUUUGUUAACUGUCUUAUCUUCUAGUACAUGUUUCUAUUCUGCAAUGUCGUGCUCAGUUAACUAUAUUGGUUCAUUUGGUCUGCUGUCCAAUUAAUUGUUUGGUUCAGUUCUGCAAUUUGAUUUUCAUUUGAUGUGGGUACAAUUUUGUAUUGUUAUGCAUGUGACACCAAUCGAAUUUGGCUGUACUCAAUACAUAUUCUAAUGAUAGUAUGGCAACUCUCAGCUAACCCGAUCAAGAUCUUCCUUAUGUGUGUUGCAGGGAAACAAUGGGAGACACUGUGGUUUACCAUCGAGGUUUGUUCAAGCAGGGUCCUUUGGCUAAUAGCACAUUAUUGUGCAGUUGCAGGAAUCAUUCUAAUAUUUAGGUUUCUUACAAUUUGGUCUUGCACAUGUAGGUCCUGCUGUCAGAGGCUUAGACCCACUGUUCGACCCAUUUUGCAUAUGGGGAAAUGAGAUGUCCAUGAAUAUCAGUCAAGUCAAGAAACUCAGAAAGAUUGUUAGGAUGAAGAAACUUGCGAUGAAUAACAGAAAGAUCUUUGUUUGCACAAUGAAGAAGACAUCAGUCAACUAUAGGAUGGUACCAACUCUUUUACCUUGUUUUUACCCCUUGCGCCAUUUCAAAAUUUACAACAGCAAUUUAUGCAUAGCUUUGUUUUCAGUACUUUUCAAAGCAGUUCACCGAUGAUUACCUCUCAAACCACCUACAUGGUCAAGAGGCGAGGAAGGUAUUCAUUCAACACCCACGGUACAA